UUUUUUUUUUCUAUAGAAAAUGAUUGCUGUCACCAUGACAACCAAAAUGCGCUCAGUGAAGAUUUUGGUUCUUGAAUCUAGUCCUAAUCUGGAUUUAGUUAUUGACUUCCUCAUGUGCUUUCCCUGCUUGGUGAAGCUCUAUGUCAUUGUGAGUGUUCAUAUUGUUGCUAGAAAUGUCAAAACAUUAUGGUUUCAGACGUAUGAUGUACUCCCUCUGUUUUAGGUGCUAAUUUGUUAUCAUCUGCCUUAAUAUCAUUUCUUUUUUCUAUCCCCAGUUGAAUGCAGGAAAGAAUAUGAAUAUUGUGCGGAAGUAUGAUCAAUUUGAUACAAUUGAAUGCCUUGAACUCCAUCUAAAAGAAGUGGUUCUCAAGAAUUACUGCGGUGGUUAUAGAGCAUUUUUUGACUUUGCCAAGUUCUUUCUUUUGAAUGCCAAAGUGCUGAAUAAAAUGGAAAUCGGAGGCUCUUAUUACCGCAACGACGACUGUUAUUUAAGGCUGCUACAAGUGGAGAAUAGAGCCUCUCAAGAUGCGCGAAUUGAAGUAAACAGAAAUAUAUUCACUCGCCAGUACAUACCCAUGAUUUGUCAAUGGCUGAUCCCUUUGACUGAUUCGUAUGUGGAUUCUCCAAGUGUGUUAGACUGUGUUGCCCUUUGUCCAAAGUCAAAAAAAAGUGGCUGCCUUUGCUUGUCUGUCUAGAGUUGUCACUCCCUUAUAACGCUCUGCAAAAUGGUCUACUCACUUCAGCAAUGGAAUGCUUUGUCAGCCACUAUAGAGGAAACCAGGAUUGAGGGGGUACGGUGGUGCCCAAGCCAAAGAUUAAAGUCGAAACUUGCAAAUGUACAAGGUGCUUGAAUGUUACUGGUAUUUGUGUGUUUUUAUGUUUAUUUGGUAUACUUGCUAGUUCUCUCCUGCCCAAUGUCAUUGUAAGCUGAGACCAUCUAUAUAUAAGCUACAGCUGUAUAUUUGUUUAUUUGCUUUAAUGAAAAAACACUGAAGUAUGUAGUAUAAGGUUUAUUUCCUUGCAUGUAAUUGAUUACAACUUCUCAGCAGGUCAUUAAGAUCACUCAGAUCGAGACAGACAAGCGUACUAGCUGCACCCAAGUUUCUGCUAGUUUAGUCAAGAAUGUCUGCCUGAUAUAAAUUGUCUGAUUCCUUUGUGUUGAUUUCUGUAAGUUGGUCUAUCAGAAUCUCUGGAAUUUCCGUAAGUACUUUGGUGAAUAUUUCUGGGAUUUAUAUGAAGCAGUAUAGCUCUAUCACUUUAGUGAGAUUUCCAUUAGUAUAUUUCUAGGUUUGUUUGCAUGAUUCUUUCAUUCACUGCCUAGCUCUAGUCUAUUAACUAACACUUGAGGGUCAGCGCGUACGACGUAUUAGUCGCCACGAAAGCUGAUCAUGGCAAAAGGUUGGCGAUAUGUAGUUUCUUGAAAGGGACGAACUCAAUUUCCUGAACAGUGUAAAGGGGUUGCAACUGGAGAUGAGCAUGCAAGCUCCAGGCAGAGGACGGUGAUGAAGAUGUAUUCCUGGAAAUCAGUAAAAUCUCAUCUUGGCUGGGACGGUAUCUGAAGUCCCAGUCUCACGAUCAUGUCAUAAGUGACAGAAUUUUAUUAUGCGUCUCUGCUCCCUGCCGUCAGUGUUAAGAGUCGCGCUGUAACAAAGAUGCAGAGGAAGAGGAAGGAGAUGUGAGGAGUUGAGAGAAGCAGAAUUUGUUAACGGAGGGAGUUGGUGAUACAGUCCACAUUGCUGACUACAAGUAAUCAAGAGAAAUAGGUGAUACAGUCGGCACUAGUUCUGGCAGAGAAAAUAUGUUUGACUAACACCAACGUGUAAUGUGCUUUGCACAAGGGCAACAACAAGUGCUCCUGUUGAUUUUUACACCUUCCGUCACUACUGUAAUGAUUAGUUGAAUGUUACAGAGCAACCUGACGGCUGGAUACAAAUGCCUACAGGCUAAUGUAGCGCGAUAGUUUGGAUGGCAAUCUGCAUGCUUUCGCUGCAGGGGCUGAGUUCUGACAAAAUUCAGCCGAAAUCGCAUCUUCCUGAUGCUGUUCUACAAGAAUGCAUCACCUAGAUUUUAGUCGAGAUCACAAGAAUAUGCAGCGACAGAUCGGCAUUAAUGUCUGAAUUUUGAUGGGCCAUCUUACCACAAGACUCCAUCGAUCGAUCGCACAAUUGACCCAGACACAUGUUAUUCUUCCUUGAUUAUUUGGGUGGGGAGUUCACAUUCUGAGCGGAACCUCCUGCCGUGUUAAAUACAGUAGCUAGCAGAAUGAAGACGGCAGCACAGCAGGUACCGCCCACAGUCACAGCCUCAUAGGGGACUCGACUGCAUUCCACGCUCAUGUUCAUAUGAAAAAUAAUGACAGAUAGAUUGGUGGGAGUUCUAACUCUGAAUGUCCGAGUGCAGUUUCAGGCUUGCUGCAGUUCAGUCCCAAGUGACAAAACCAAGAACCAACCAACUGUCAGGCAACAAGAAAGCAGAAGCAGGGCCUAAUGUACAUACACGACCAAACUCACAAGUGACAACUCCAUACAUACAGUAACAUUUAACUAGUCUCGUUAUUUUUAUUUAUCUUUCUUAGUUGUUUAAAGUAAUUUUAUGCAGGAAGUGACAGAGCUGUGCCACAAUGAAAGUUAAAUAAAAUUCACUGAUGAUUCCGUCUGUGGAUAAUUAAACGUUGAAGGCUACGAAAGAACCAGCCCAAAUAUGUACAUUAGGCCAUCAAUGUUUAAUAUUCCACAGACGUGCAAAUCAGGGUUGGAGUCCUGCUGGAACGGAGAUGUGGCAAGUUCAGAGAAACAAAAUUCACAGCAAUGUUCCGGUGAUUUAAAUGUUAUUACAAACUUUUUGCCUUGGUCAUAUGAAGUUUCCGUGUUGAGCUUGAGCACGCGGGCGUGAUGCAAAGCUGAUGGCGCACUGCACUUCACAACACCAUAUUUGUGCGUAAGUGCAUAUUUGUGCUUAUUGGAUGUGGUAUUUUGUGCUUUUCAUUAUAAAAUAGGCCUAAGAAAUUAGCACUACCACACCUGAUUUGUGGAGAAAUUAGUGGACAAGUAACGGUGGGUGACUGAUUGUCGUUCCACCCGCACCAACACUUGCUAGCUUUUCUUGGCCCAACAUUUCAAGGUUCACCGGAAGAAAGAUAGAUAUGAUUGACCAACGCAUUCUGAAAAAAAAUCUCCCAUAAUACAUAUAUGCAUGCUCCCCACAAGAAAGUAAAGUGUCUACCAUACACACACAUCCAUCCAAACACAUUCAUCCGGCCAUCACCAGUCGAGCACCCUAGCCUGCAGUCAAUGUCAUGGCAAUCCAUCGCAUGCUCAUCCUCGUGUCUUUGAGCCUGCUGCUACACCUAUGCGUGGCGGAGGAAGCCGCCAGCCACGCAGAAGAAGCACAAGCACAAGCACUCCUCCGAUGGAAGUCCACUCUGCUCAACUCCUUCUCUUUGUCCUCGUGGUCGCACACCACACCGACCUGUUCUUGGUUCGGAGUAACAUGUGAUGCCCACGGCCGUGCUACCCAGCUCAAGCUUUCAUCAUGCAACCUCAGUGGCACUCUUGACGCCUUGUACUCCGCCGCGCUCGGUAGCCUUACCGAGCUCGGCUUUUACGGGAACAACCUCGUCGGCACCAUCCCGGUGAGCAUAUCCCUACUACUCAACCUCACCUAUCUGGACUUGAUGAGCAACAACCUUGUUGGUCCCAUACCCUACCAAUUCAGCAAACUCAAGCACUUGAUGUACCUUGAUUUGUCUAGCAACAGGCUAUCUGGGCUGAUACCACGUCCGCUCUCAGUGCUCACAGCACUAGAGUCUCUGAACCUUGGACAAAACAAUCUUACAGGAGGAAUCCCAGAGGAGCUCGGGAUGCUGCAUAGUUUGGCUCAGCUUGAACUGAACAACAACUCGUUCUUCGGACCGAUCCCAGCGUCACUUGGGCAGCUUAGGAUGCUAGAAUAUCUGGACAUAAGUGGAAAUCAUUUAGGUUCAACCAUCCCUUCCGAGCUGGGAAACCUUACCCGUCUCAUCAACAUAGACCUGUCCUGGAACAAGCUUUGUGGAGGUUUGCCCACAACCUUUUCCAGGUUGUGGCACCUGGAAUCGUUUGUAAUGGGGAACAACAAUCUCGACGGCACUGUUCCACCAGACUUCUUCACAAACUGGACCAACUCCCUCACAAGGUUUGAUAUAGCAAACAACUCUUUCAUCGGAAGCAUCCCACCGGAGAUUGUUCGGUGGGAGAAUCUGUCUAGGCUGUACCUCUCUGGCAACAUUUUCACCGACAUGAUCCCCACUGAGCUAGUAAGCAUGCAACACUUGGAAAUAUUGGACCUGUCCAAUAACCAUCUUAAUGGUGUGAUACCAUCAGAGAUUGGCAACUUGUCAUGGUUAGUAAUCCUGGACCUUAGCUCCAACCAGUUGGAGGGCAAGAUUCCUACUAUGAACCCCGACACUGGAGGUAACUAUUCCAUGUUUUUUGCUAGUCUAAUAUCCUUGUCUGGAAACAAAUUUACAGGUAUUAUUGACUGGAGUUUUUGUCAGCUACCUUAUUUACAGUCCUUGGAUCUAUCAGACAAUCUGUUGUCUGGAGUUAUCCCUAAUUGCCUUUGGAGCUUGCCAAAUCUUGCGUACCUAGAUUUGUCAAGCAAUGCUAUUGAUGGAGAAGUUCCACUCUCAGUACACAAUAUUUCUGCACUGUAUUCACUACAUCUAUCUAACAACCGCUUCACAGGGUGCUUUCCCUCUAUUGUAAGGAACUACAGAAACCUAAUAACUCUAGAUCUUGGUGGCAACAAGUUUUCCGGGGUAAUUCCUACUUGGAUAGGGGCAAGCAAUCCUUCGCUCAGGGUUCUCCGACUACGAUCAAAUAUGUUCCAAGGAAGUAUUCCUCAUGAGGUUACACAACUCAUUCAUCUCCAAAUACUUGACCUAGCUGAAAACAAUCUGACAGGCUGCGUACCAGUUAGGUUUGCUAGCUUUACUCACAGGAAAUGGCCAGAACGGACCUCGCUAGGGAUGGAUCUGAGUUCUGUGUACUACUCAAUUGAUGGCCAGCUUGACAUAAUUUGGAAGGGGCAAGAUUAUACUUUCCAUAGAGCAAUUUGGCUUAUGACUGGCAUUGAUCUAUCAAGCAACUCUCUUUCCGGUGAGAUCCCCGCAGAACUACUUAAUCUUCAAGAAAUUCGGUUCCUCAACUUGUCUAGAAAUAACUUAUCCGGUGGUAUCCCAAACAACAUUGGCAACAUGAAAGAUAUGGAGUCCCUUGAUUUCUCUUGGAAUAAGCUCUCAGGUCCCAUUCCAUCAAGCAUAUCAGAUUUGAUGUGCUUGAGCUCACUUAAUCUCUCCAACAACCUUCUUUCAGGAGAAAUACCUGAUGGUAAUCAGCUUCAAACGCUCAAUGACCCAUCGAUUUAUAGCCAGAACCAAGGGCUCUGCGGCCGCCCUCUGAGCAUCGCAUGUACCAAUGGUUCAAGUGGUACAACAACACUAUACGGGGUAAAGGAGCAUCAACAAGAACUUGAUGCUGUCUGGCUGUACUACUCAGUGGUCGCUGGAAUUGUCUUUGGUUCUUGGCUAUGGUUUGGAACAUUAUUUUUCUGGAAGCAUUGGAGGUUCACUUUUUUCCAUUCCAUCGACGCCGUGCAGCAAAAAGUUGCGCAGAAGUUGAAGCAUAUAUAUUGACCGGUAUGAAGGCCUGGCCCAUCUUCACUGUUAGUAUAGGGCCCAAGCCCAUGUGUGUGACCUAGAUGAGAGCAACCAGAGUUAUAUGCGUGUGUGACACACGGGAGUAGGAGUCAGCCGCCAGACACACCAAACCACAUGUAUGCGGGUAUGCCUCUCUCGUUCUACAUGGUAUCGGAGAGCUGGGGCGAGGGAGGAAGGCGCCGGCGGUAGAGUCGCCAGCGAGGCGGCGGGGUCCGGCGGAGGACGAAGGCGGCGGAGCUGGGCGUGGGCUGCUGGAGAGGAGCACGUGGCGCGGCUGCGCGGAGGUGCAGACGUGCAGUGAGGUGUGUGCGUGUGGAGCUGCUGCUGAGCUUCUGCUGCUGGUGCUAGUGGAGAAGGAAGUGCUGCUUGUAGCUGCGGCAGAGAGAAGGGUGCGGCUGCUGUUGGGGGUUGGUAGAGGAAGAAGAGGAGGUGACAUUGCUGCUGCUCGCCAGAGGAGGAGGCUGGCUGAACUGCAGGUGGUGCUGCUGCUUGCAGGUGCUGGGUGCUGUUGGUGUAAGUUUUUUUUUCCGCUGCUGAUUGAAGAAGAAGAAGAGGGGAGGCAAUCAUGGGGGCUGAACUCACUGCUGCUCUAGAGAAACUUGCGCAGCUCAUGACUGCGAAGGCCGAGGGGUUACCUCCUGCAAGUGGCGCCAUCAUUGUGCCCCACGCAGAUCAGGUGUUCAAGCUUGAGCUCAUGCCAAAUGAUGUCAAGCUGAAUGGCGUGAGCAGCUACCUGAGCUGGUCGAGGCGCGCCUUGUUGAUCUUGAAGACAAAGGGUCUGACGGAGUAUGUUCUUGGAACGGUUGAAGAAUCGGCUGACAAGGCGAGCCCAGAAUGGAAGAAGUGGAGUGUCACCGACUCUCUGAUUUUGGCCUGGAUGUUGAACUCCUUGAUUCCAGCCAUUGCCAUGUCUGUUGAGGCAUUGCCAACUGCUUCUGCUGUGUGGAGCAUGUUGUUCACAAGGUAUUCCGGUAAGGGAAACCUGAUGCUCAUGUCUCAAAUUGAAGACAAGAUUCAUGCUGUUCGUCAAGGUGACAGAAGCGUGCUGGUGUAUGUGAAUGAGCUGCAACACCUUUGGGCAGAUCUGGAUCAGUGUGAUCCCCUUGAGAUUCCACAUGCAGAGUCCAUGGAGCUUGCCAGGAAGUGGGUUGAGCGCAGGCGUGUGGUGCAGUUUCUAAAGGGCCUAGAUCAAGCUUUUGAGAGUAGACAUGCUGCGAUGCUACAUCAGCCGACACUUGUGACCCUUGAUGAGGCCAUUGCUGCGAUGUCCCAAGAAGAGGUACGCUUGUAGUCGAGAAGGGGAGUUGGAAAUGAAUCUGCUUAUAGGGUGGCUGACCAGCGAGGGGUGUGUCACAAUUGUGGUCAACCAGGGCAUAUCAGCCGUUUCUGCAUUGGACCUAGGAACGUCAGAGGCCGAGGGUACAGUGGUGGCAGUAGCAGCCGAGGUGGUUGGAAUGUGAGUCGUGGUCGGAAUGGGAGUGGCGGUUCUUGGAAUGCUCCCCAUUGGAAUGCUCCUAAGGCAAAUGUAGCUGCUUCAGCUGCAGGGAAGCAGCCUGUAGGAGGACAGGAGACUGCUCCCAGCUAUGCCAACUUUGUUGAUACAAAUGAAGGUAACAUUGAACACGCAUCAAUCGCAGCCCAUAAAAUAAACUCUGAAUGGGUGCUUGACUCUGGAGCAUCACAACAUGUUGCUGGAGACUUUAAUGAGUUUACAUCUUAUGUUCCACACUCUCUUGCACAUCAGAAAAACAUUCACACAGCAGAUGGCACAGCCCAAUCCAUCAUAGGUGUUGGGACAGUCAACUGCACGCCGAGUCUUGAAUUAUCCUCAGUGUUGCAUGUGCCCGCUUUUCCUGUGAACUUAGUGUCCUCGAGUGCUUUGGUUGACCAAAUAGAUUGCCGAAUAAUUCUUGACAAAGUUGUGUUCUUGAUCGAGGAGAGAUUGACGGGCAGGAGUCUUGGGACUGGAACAAGGCGUAGGGGGCUGUGGUACAUGGACCGCAGCAUGCCGGGCCAGGAGGGAUUGCACAUGCUAGCUGCAAUUGCUGAGGAUAAGGAGAUUAGAGCACUGAUCCAUCACUGUAGGAUGGGACAUGUGUCUUUUGACAAAAUGUAUCAAGUAUUUCCUGAUGUAAUGAGUGGUGUGGACAAGAGCAAGCUGAAAUGUGAUGCGUGUGAGUUUGCUAAACAUACCAGAAACUCGUAUGUGAGUAAGGGGAUCAGGAGCAUCUCUCCUUUUGUGUUGAUCCACUCUGAUGUAUGGACAUGUCCAGUGUUAUCUGUCAGUGGUAUGAAGUACUUUCUUACGUUCAUUGAUUGUCAUUCUCGGAUGACUUGGGCCUAUCUUAUGAAACAUAAAGAUGAAGUGUUUCAGUGUUUCAAAGUCUUUUAUGCACUUGUUCAGACUCAAUUUAAUGUGAAAAUUCAAGCACUCAGAUCUGACAAUGGCACCGAAUAUGUUAACAAGGCCAUUGGUUCCUUCAUGUCAGACAAGGGCAUCUUGCAUCAAACAUCUUGCCCAGACACACCUCCUCAGAAUGGGGUGGCAGAGAGGAAAAAUCGCCACCUACUGGAGGUGGCCCGUGCAUUGAUGUUCACCAUGAAUGUGCCCAAGUUUCUGUGGAGUGAAGCUGUCAUGAUGGCCACCUUCUUGAUCAACCGCACACCAUCCCGGGUGACAGGUAUGAAAUCACCGUGUGAGUUGGUUUUCACAGAAAAUAAAUUCCCAGUUCCCCCCAAGGUGUUCGGUUGCACUUGUUUUGUUCGUGAUCACAGGCCAUCAGUCAACAAACUGGAUCCUCGGGCAGUCAAGUGUAUUUUUAUUGGGUAUUCUUCAGAACAAAGAGGGUACAAAUGCUGGAGUCCGUCUGAGAGGAGGACAUUUGUGAGCAUGGAUGUUACGUUCCGUGAAUCGGAACCCUUUUAUGGUGAGCAAACUGACCUAAGCGUCUUGUUUGAAGAACUUGACCAAUGUCUCCAACCGGAAAUUGGUCAAGAGGGGGAGAGCAGUGAUAGUGAUAAUGAUAACUGUGGUGGUGCCGAUUCAGUGCUGCAGCAACCAAUCGAGGGUGAUAUUCCGGUACAGGGAAGCGAACAGCAGCCCCAAAAAAUGAUAACACCACAGAGUGAAGGACCGAUUGUGACUGAUGGGGUGCCGAGUCAGGCAAGCGGUGCUCCCACCCAGAUCGGUUGUGUACCGAGGUGGACGGUAGAGCAAGAGGAGCAGCUAAAGGUGUAUUCACGGAAGCAAGGUGAUGCUUCUCAUAGGUGGCAGAAGGUGAAUGAGGAGCGUAAUCCUCAAGUAUAUUCAAGACGACAGCAUCAUGUUCAGGGGAGCAGCCAACACAGAUGCAGGGGGAGCAACAAGGCAGCAAUGCAAGCUCAGUUGACACAGAGGACUUGCCAAUUGCUUUGAGAAAAGGUACUCGAGAAAAAGCAGGGAUACCCAGGCCAAAGUAUGGGUUCGAUGCCAAUGAUAUUGGAAAUUAUGUUUCCUAUGAAGCAUUAUCUCCAGCCCACAAAUCAUUUGUUGCUUCUCUUCAGCUGGUGUCUCUUCCAACUGAUUGGAAGGCAGCAAAAGUGGAUCCAAAGUGGCGAGCAACUAUGAUAGAGGAGCUGGAGGCAUUAAGUAAGAACAAGACAUGGGUACUAACACCUCUUCCAAGAGGAAAGAAGGCAGUUAGCUGCAAGUGGGUAUACACCGUGAAGCAGAAUGCAGAAGGGAAGAUUGAAAGGUACAAAGCAAGGCUUGUGGCGAGGGGGUACAGCCAGACCUACGGCAUUGACUAUGAUGAGACCUUUGCUCCAGUAGCAAAGAUGAACACUGUGAGGAUUCUGAUCUCCUGUGCAGCAAAUUUCGGGUGGCCUUUACACCAACUUGAUGUGAAGAAUGCCUUCUUGCAUGGGGACUUGAAGGAGGAGGUAUACAUGGAUAUUCCACUUGGGUUCUCAACUUCUGAGACUGCUGGUAAGGUAUGCAGGCUAAAGAAAGCUCUUUAUGGACUGAAACAGUCUCCAAGAGCUUGGUUUGACAGAUUUAGACGGGCUGUGCGUGGCAUGGGGUAUGGACAAUGCAACGGUGACCAUACAUUGUUUUAUAGACACUCUAAAGGAAAAAUGACCAUCCUUGCAGUUUAUGUUGAUGAUAUCAUUAUCACCGGCGAUGAUGACAUAGAGAUAGCAAGGUUAAAGGGGUGUCUGAGUAAGGCAUUCGAAGUUAAAGAUCUUGGUCCACUCAAGUACUUCCUUGGUAUAGAAGUGGCAAGGUCUGGAAAAGGAAUAGCUCUUUCUCAAAGAAAGUAUACCCUGGAUCUCCUCUAUAAUGUUGGCAUGUUGGGUUGUCGAGCUGCUGCAACCCCAAUUGAUCAAAAUCAUAAAGUGACCGCCCAAUCAGGUGAUCUGGUGAAUAAAGAAAAAUAUCAGCAAUUGGUGGGAAGAUUAUUGUACUUGUGUCAUACACGACCAGACAUUGCAUUUGCAGUAAGUGUUGUGAGCAGAUAUAUGCAUGAGCCUAGGAGUGAACAUCUCGAGGCAGUAUAUAGAAUCCUGAGAUACUUGAAGGGUUCUCCUGGGAAAGGAUUGAUAUACAAGAGUCAUGGACAUCUUGUCGUGGAUGGUUAUUGUGAUACUGAUUGGGCCAGCUGUCUGGAUGACAGGAGAUCAACCUCAGGCCAUUGUGUUUUCGUAGGAGGAAAUCUAGUGUCUUGGAGAAGCAAGAAACAACCCAUUGUUUCCAAAUCAACCGCAGAGGCUGAAUAUAGAGCCAUGUCUCAGGGAUUGAGUGAGUUGUUAUGGACAAGAAAUCUAUUAGGAGAGUUGAAGAUAUUGAAGACCAGUUGUAUGAAUGUAUGGUGCGACAACAAGUCGGCAAUUAGCAUAGCAAACAACCCAGUUCAACAUGAUAGAACCAAACAUGUGGAGAUUGACAGAUUCUUUAUCAAAGAAAAACUGGAUGCUGGGAUUAUCAAGAUAGAGUAUGUGAGUUCAAGACAACAAAUUGCAGAUUGCUUGACUAAAGGACUGAGAACUAGAGAAUGCAGUUCAGCAUGUGACAAGAUGGGAAUGAUAGAUAUCUACCACCCAUCUUGAGGGGGAGUGUUGACCGGUAUGAAGGCCUGGCCCAUCUUCACUGUUAGUAUAGGGCCCAAGCCCAUGUGUGUGACCUAGAUGAGAGCAACCAGAGUUAUAUGCGUGUGUGACACACGGGAGUAGGAGUCAGCCGCCAGACACACCAAACCACAUGUAUGCGGGUAUGCCUCUCUCGUUCUACAAUAUAUGAUGGAACCCUGUCUGGAGUUUUGCUCUUAAGCAGUUGCCAUUAUCUGCACUGGACAUGCAUGUAUUAUUACUAACGCCCGUCCUUGUUUAUUUUCACCAAUACAUGCCAUCAAAUAUGUUGAAAUCAUGUAUCACCGGAUUCGCUUAUAGAUCUUGUGAUGAAGCCAGUUUCACGUGUACUAGUAUUUUGAUGAGUUGUAAGUGGCGCAUAUACCUUUCAUCGUUCGGUUUAUAUUGUACCUACGCUCGCCCGCCGUAGUAUAUACGGUCUCCAUCUCUCUCGACGUACCCAAAUCCCCUCCCCUAGCCUAACACUGCUGCACAGGCCUCCUGAACAACAUUUGAAAUUUGAUAACUUGCAUAGUUAUAUUCAUCAUUUCUUCUUUUAUUCUCAUAAAAGGAAUGCAAGUAAAGUUUAAAUUAUAUCUCCAUCUGUAUAAUUUGGUGGUGUUAAAAGGCAUGCUCUGUUUUUAAUGGUUUCCUGGCCUCGUUGUGUCACAAACUUCUACGUUUAGAUGGCUUGAAUCGAUGCCAUGGAGCAACUGGUUAGAGCGGUUUGAAGUUUGAUUGUUGUUAUUUUCUACCCUCGUCCAUUUAUUUGAUGGCAUGAAAAUAAAGAUUGCACACGUGUUUCUUGGUUCUGGUUAGGCAACUCACUGGAUAAAGAGUUGAACAAAGUUUUGUAUGGAGAAAGAGUGUUCCAGGAUUCCGUGAGAACAUGUAAAAUGAAUCCUUUGGAGGAAAAAGCAGGGCAAUCUUCCUUGAGAAUCUUUCUACGUGAUAAAUAUAUAGUUCCAUUCCUUUGUGCUGAUUGCUGCAAGUCAGACUAUCUGAAUCUCUGUAAUUUUCACAAGUACUUGGGUGGAUAUUUCUAGGAUUCUACGGAUACAACAUGGAUGCUUGGGUUAAAUUGCACAAGUAUAGCAAUUCAUCUUGUUAGUUGCAAGAACUAUAUAGCAGAGACCCGUUUUUGAUUUGUUUGCGCGAUUUUUUCAUUCACUGUGUAGCUCUAGUCUGUUAAGCAACGCUUGAGGGUCAGCGCAUACGUUGUCCUAGUCGCCAGGAAAGCUAUCCGGCAGGACUCGAUGACCUGAUCAUGGCAAAGGUUGGUGACAUAUGGUAUCUUGAACGAACUUAAUUUCUUGAACAGUAUAAAGGGGUUGCAUAUGGAUAAGAAAAUCCGCGGCCCUCAUCGUUGGCGAGUGGUGUGCUUCUGUGGUCCUGGUUCCAGAGAUGAGCAUGACGAUGGUAUCUGAAGAAAUGUUUGUCAUCCGACGCUGUAACAGAGAUGGAGAGGAGGAGGAAGUAAGAUGUGGCAAGGUUCAGAGAAGCAGAGUUUAUAGGAAGUACUCAGUAGUCAAGAGUCGUGAUGUGCCUGUUGGAGGAAUUUGUUUGAACUGUGCCUGCCUGCCGUGUUCCGGUGAUUCGAGUGUGACUGAAAGUCUUGCGUUGGUCUCGGAACUAGAAUGUCGACUCUUGUUGUGGGAGUGUCCAUUCAUGCAUCUCUGAAGCUGUGAAUGCGAAGUUCUAUUACCCCUGCAUUGCAGUUGUUGCAGCAAAUGUACAGCCCAGCCCAUGUUUCUAUAUGGCUUUUGGGAUUUGGAGGCUCGAAGCAAAGCAAUAACAUACAUAGAAGAGUAGUAGAGUACAAACCCCGUUGCUUGCCUGAACAGUUCACAUGUUAAUUAAUAAUGAGACAAGUCUUUUGCCUCUAUUUUAAAAAAGGAGGAGUUCUUUUUUAAUGGAAAAUAUAAAGAAAGAAGAUACUAGAAUAGCAUGGCUCGUACACUUUCCAUUUUAUAGCCAGGGAGACAUUUUUUUAGAUGAAGUAUUUUUUUUUAGACAAUUGAGAUGAAGUAUGUGCUUACGAUCGCUAUUGGCCCUAAUCUGGCUGUGGUUAUUGACUUCUUGAAGUGCUUCCCCUGCUUGGAGAAGCUCUAUAUCAUUGUGAGUACUCAUAUUUAUUGCUAGAAAUGUCAAAACGACAUUGGUUCAGAAUUAUGAUCUAGUGAACUACUAGUAUUUAGCUGCCAAUUUGUUAACAACUAUCUUUAUAUUAUAUAUUUUUCCUAUCCCCAGUUGAAUCGGCACAAGGAUGUAAAUUAUGUGUGGAAGCAUGGUCCACUGGAUCCAGUUCGAUGCCUUGAGCUCCAUCUAAAAAAAGUGGUAUUGAAGAAUUACAAUGGUGACAGGAGGGCAUUUACUAACCUUGCUAAGUUCUUUAUUUUGAAUGCAAAAGUGCUGAAAGAAAUGGAAAUCGGAUUCUUUCAAAUUGGCAACGAAGAAUGGGUUUGUUGUCAACAUAGGCAGCUACAAGUUGAGAAUAGAGCUUCUCAAGGCGCUCGAAUUGAACUAAAAGAUGAUAUGGACCUGAAAUUCACUGACCAUGUGCAUACCCAUAAUUUGUCAAUUGCUGAUCCCUUUGACAGAUCCUUGUGUGGAUGCUCCAAGUGUGUUAGGGAGCCCUUCUGAAGAUUGUGUCACCCUUUGUCCAAAGCCAAAAGAACAUGGCCGGCCUUGCUUGUCUGUGUUGUCACACCCUUAUGGUGCUCUGCAGAAUGGUCUACUCACUUCAGGAAUGGUAUUGAUUUGUACCGACUCUGGAGCAACCCAGGAUUGAGGAGGUGGUGCCUGAGCCAAAGAUUAAAAUUGAUUUCGCAAAUGUACAAGACCCUUGAAUGUUACUAGUUUUUGUGUGUUAUGCUGCUCUAAGUCCUAUUAUAAGCUUAGACCAUGUGUAGGCUACAAGCCUACAACUAAUAUAUUUGUGUCUCUACCUAUUGCUUUGAUGAAAAAACAUAGCCUUGUAUUUCUUCGUUUAAAAGAUGGCAGUGUAAAGUUUAUUUCCUGGCAUGCAAUUCAUUACAACUUUGUUAGCAGGUCAUUGAGACCACCUGUAGACUACAACUAAUAUCCGCAAACUUGUCUGCUAGUUUAGUUAAGAAUGUAUGGUUGGUUCACAGAAUUCAUUUCUUUCACAGAUUUUAAAUUUGAAAUCUUAUGUUUAUACAUUCUUCUAUUCUCAUAAAAGAAAACCAAGUAAAAUUUACAUUAUAUUUUCCUGUGUUAAAUUUAAGGUGAAUUUAAAAGGUAUACUCUGUAUUUUUAUGGUUUCAUGACCUCAUUCUGUCAGAAAUUGCUAUAUUUACAUGGUGUGAAUCGAUAGCAUGGACCAAUUAGUUAUUGUGUUUAGACGAUUGAUUCCGCUGGUUUUUCUAUACCCAUCCAUUUAUUUGUUGACAUAGCACAUAAAGAUCGCCUGGUGGGGUUCACACCCAUCUAUUUAUUUUGUCUUGCUUUUAUGUGGUUGCCGUACUUUAUUUGGCUUGUUCAGGAAAGAGAUGCUUCCCCUUUUUUCCCGUUCUCUGUUAACACAUACCAAAAUGGGAGACUUUCUGUUAAAUCAUUGAAAGGAGAUUUCCCAAAAUUUUGGAAGGAGUCAGAUAUCUUUACUGAGGUUUUUCAUUUGAUGCUUUUUUUUUCAAAAAAUAAAUCUUGCAAUGCAUCUGGAUGUGUUUAUUUUUCAUCAUUAAUCAUUAUUUAUUUCUUUUCUUAUAUCAGAUUAAAAGGUUAAAUGUCCACAGCGUUCGUAGGGAUGUUUUCUCUGGUAAAGGAAUCAUGCAUUUGUUGUUCAUUUCAUUAUUUAUUUGUUUAUUCUGUUUCUUAGUCGCUUAGUUCUCUUCAGCUUUGUCGGUGUUUUCUUUUCUACGGUCUUNNNNNNNNNNNNNNNNNNNNNNNNNNNNNNNNNNNNNNNNNNNNNNNNNNNNNNNNNNNNNNNNNNNNNNNNNNNNNNNNNNNNNNNNNNNNNNNNNNNNNNNNNNNNNNNNNNNNNNNNNNNNNNNNNNNNNNNNNNNNNNNNNNNNNNNNNNNNNNNNNNNNNNNNNNNNNNNNNNNNNNNNNNNNNNNNNNNNNNNNNNNNNNNNNNNNNNNNNNNNNNNNNNNNNNNNNNNNNNNNNNNNNNNNNNNNNNNNNNNNNNNNNNNNNNNNNNNNNNNNNNNNNNNNNNNNNNNNNNNNNNNNNNNNNNNNNNNNNNNNNNNNNNNNNNNNNNNNNNNNNNNNNNUCAGUCUUGGUUCAGUCUUCUGUUUCUUAGUAUUUGUUUCUUUUUAAAUUUCUUUAAUUUCUUACUAGUUCCUUGGUCUUUCUUCAGCCUUCAUCAUCGCCGGUCUCUCAUAGUUCCUUAACUGCGUAGUCUUCUUCUGUUUUGCAUUCUAUGUUUCAUCAUUUCUUUAGUCUCUCAUAUGUUUGGUCUUGAAAGCAGAUGAACGGGCAAGUAAAUGCUUGUAAACCUUUUCUUCGGUAAGUCUCUGUCUGCUUCUAUUUCUCUUGCCAGAGACUAUGUUCAAGUUGCAUUCCUGCCAUGUUCAUGGGAGAAGUGGCAGAUCAGUGGACAAGAGUAUCAUGAUCAGUCCCAGAUCGUCUCCAUUGUUGCAGUGGGAUUAUUGUAUCAUGAUCAGUGGACAAGAGUAUCAUGAACAGCAAGGGACCCACCUGGCGGCUGAAUCUACAUACAUGUCGAUAAUCGCCUACUGGAGAGACAAACUGCUUCUGAUAUUACGAGUAGGCUCAUGCGUGUCUGGAUCCUUUCAGUGCAGGCGUGGAGUUAAUUAGGACAAAAUUUAGCUAGCCAACAUCGCAGUUACUCUUCCUGAUGGUGUUGUGCAAUAAUACAUCGCCUAUAUUUUGGUCGACAUGAAUGAAUAUGCAGCCAUAGAUCGGUAAUGAAUGUCUGAACUUUGAUUUCAGUGGUCGAUCACCCUGAUUGAAUAACCCAAGUCAGUUGAUUCACAACUGCGUGCAUGAUGACAGAGAACACAUAACUUGGUUUCGGUAAUUGUGCCAACUUCCCCUUUACGCUCUUUGCCACAUGAUUGGACGAUGUCUACAUGAUGUGCUGUGUUGAGCAGUGAGUCUAACCAAUGGUGAACCCACAUGCCAACAACCUUCUACUCGAGGGAGAAAUUGCUUCCCAUCUAGAAGCUGUAUCUCGUUCGGAUGUUUUCACUGCAGACGUGCAGUUCCAUAAAAUUCAGUUGAGAUCACAUCUUCGUGUGCAGUUUCAGACUUGCUGUUGUCCAGCCACAACUGAAUAACCAACCAGAAAACCUUUAUGAAACAAGCAAAAGCAGGGCCUGAUACCAUUGAGCAACUGAUUAUUGUGGUUUGAAGUUUUAAUCCGCUGGUCGUUAUUUUCUAUCCUCGUCCUUUAUCGGAAAAAACCCUUUUAUCUCAUGGCAUGCCACAUAAAGAUUGCACACAUGUUUCUUAAUGAAGUUUUGUAUGGAGAAAGAGUGUUCCAGGAUUCCCCGAGAAAAUGUGAAAGAAAUCUUUUGGAGGAAAAAUCUUGAGGGUCAGUGCGUACGAUGUAUUAGUCGUCACGAAAGCUGAUCAUGGCAAAGGUUGGCGAUAUGUAGUUUCUUGAAAGGGACGAACUCAAUUUACUGAACAGUAUAAAGGGGUUGCAACUUGCAACUGGAGAUGAGCAUGCAAGCUCCAGGUGAUACAGGUUAUACAGCUGAAUAACCAACCAACCUUCCUUUUUGCGACAUGCAAGCAGGUUAUACAGCCAUACAUUACUGACCCCAAUUAAUCGAGAGAAAUGCGUAGGUGAUACAGACUGCAGUAGUUCUGGUAGAGAAAAUAUGCUUGCUUGAAUGUUACCGAGGACAGCAGUAGGUAGCAUAGCAGUCAGUCACAGGGGACUGCACUCCAGACAUGCAUGUCUAAAUAUAGCUCAACCAAACAGCUGCCAACUUUUGCAACAGAGAAUUAAAAACACAUCUACUACUAAUGUCUGUUCUAACUCAAGCAACCCAGCAAGACGGGGGAGGCUGGCGACAGAUUUAGGAAGAAAAAAAAUACUAGCUCACACUACGGAUAAAUCACCUUGAGUACAUGUGAUGCGCUCAACAGAGUCACUUUUGGAACCAAAUGCUGAUGGCCGGCCAGUUGAGUUGCAGACUUUGCAGUAAGUAGCAGGACUGGAUUCUCCUGAUGCAUUAGCAUUAGCAUUACUACUUGGUCAAGAUGGGUGAGUAAAAAUCACCAUCAUUUGAGUUACCAGGAUUAAGGUGGCUAGUUAUUGGUGGUCACUCUCUCAUUCUUCUGGUCUCCGUUCUUCGCCCGAGAUUCUUUUUGCGACGACCUCUUCCCACUCCUUGUCGUCCUUAAACAUGUAACGUUCAAGGGCUCUGCUGACACAGAUUCUGCACUUGGGGAUCAAGUUGGUUGCUUUUUCAAUGGCGCACUCCAGAGCCUUCACCCUGCCUGGAGCUGCUCCGUAACAAUCGAAUUCGACCUCGAGGUGUGCAAGGCCUGGAAGAUGCUCGACACCCAAGUCUUCAAAAAAGUCGGACGCCACAAACAUUGGGUUCAAAUGAAGACGGAGACAACGGAGUGCUUGCAUAGCACCUGGUGCAAAUGUUAGCCGCAGUCCACCCGUUGGUUUCACUUCAACAGCAGAACGGAAGAGUGCAUAGCGGAAGUAGAAGACCUUUAGCAGUUUGAAUCCAUCACUAGCGAUGGUCAGCUUUUCAUUAACGGCAACUCUUCUUAUGCUAAGCCCCAGAUUGGCCAGAGAAGGCAUGCUCAUGACAACUUGGAGAUCCUCCUUAUCAAUUCCAUGACCGUUAUGCGUAGUUUCAUGAGAUUCUGGAGGGAGGUAAUUCCCCUGGGAACCAUUCUAAUACCUGACUCAAUUUUAAGAACUUGGAGGCACGGGUAUGUGCAGCAUGGGUUACAGAACAGACGCUCAGCUAUGUCUCCACCAGCACGAAGAUAACGAAGGUUGCAUUUGACCAACUCAUUUACUUCAUCUGCAAAUCUCACUGGGUCGUCGGUUUCCUCGAAGCCUAACUCCUCCAAGGCCUGCAGACUCCGAAACCCACUCGCAUGUAAUUGUGUGAAAUUGCUGACAAAUAGGUGCACCAAUUUCCGCAACUGCGCCACGGUUGAUGGCAGACUUGGAAGUGAAUAACAGCAUCUCAAAUCCAGAGUCUCCAAGUGCUGCAGCUUUCCAAUUUCACAAGGAAGCUCAGUAAUCAUAGAACGACCAAUUCUCAAAUACCUCAGCUGACGUAAACUUCCUAUGUGUUUCACAUGCUUGUUUUCCAACCAUUCACAUACUCCAAGAUCCAACACCCGCAAAGCAUGGAAGUCCACAAGAUGGGGUAUCUGCUCAACCUGCCAAAACGUAGUCAGUGAGCGAACAUGUAUCUUGGUUUCUGUAAUCGCACAGACUGCACCAUUAUGCUCUUUGCCACUAACUUGCACGGACAGACGUCGAAUCUUGUUUGGAAAUGAAUUGCAUACACGUCCAUUUAAAACAGUGGCAAAAUUCUCUUCAUCUGAUAAAGAUAUGAUCAAGUCAAGCACCAUAUCAUGGACUCGACAAUAUUUCACAGUACCAUCAUCGUCAAUAUCAAUUGGCUGGAUCAUAUUUCUAUUAACAAGUUCAUUAAUACAGUUCUCUGCCACAUCAUCCAAACGCCCCCAUCGUCUAUCAAGGAAUCCUUCGGCCAUCCAUUUCCAUUUCAGUUCUUUACACUUGAUCUUGUAGUAGAAGGGGAGCCUUGGCGCAGUGGUAAAGCUGCUGCCUUGUGACCAUGAGGUCAUGGGUUCAAGUCCUGGAAACAGCCUCUUACAGAAAUGUAGGGAAAGGCUGCGUACUAUAGACCCAAAGUGGUCGGACCCUUCCCUGGACCCUGCGCAAGCGGGAGCUACAUGCACCAGGUUGCCCUUUACACUUGAUCUUGUAGUCCUCUGGAUAUAUACACAAAUACAGUAAACAAGUCUUCAUGUGGUGUGGAAGGUCCCAGUAACUAAGUAACAAUAUAUCUUUCAUCGCUUUUAAGUUCCCAUCAUUUUCAAGUAAAGAACCAACACCGAUGGAAUCUUGCAGUCUCUCCCAUUCAUCCUUGUUGUGUUUUUUAUUGGCAAGCAAACUUGCAAAUGUAAUUAUGGCCAGUGGUACACCACCAUAUUUUUCUAAGAUCCUAUUAGAAACAUCUUUCAGUUCAGCAGGACAUGAAUGAUCUGUGCUAAAAAUUCUCUUCAAGAACAAUCUUUCAGAAUCAACGUCACCUAGAGGUUCCAUUUGAUAGGGUUGACCACCACAGCUGUAACAACAUAGAUUAGCAACGCCGAUAAUGCGUGUAGUAGCAAUUAUUCUGCUGCCAUUAUUAUUCUCAGGAAAUGCUGACUUGAUCAGUUUCCAGUGUUCUUCUUUCCAUACGUCAUCAAUAACAAUUAAGUACCUGCAUUCAAUGUGUAAGUCGUUGAGCAUUUCGUAGCUGUGAUCAAGGUUUUGGUUACCAGUUGAAAUUUCAAGAUUUCCCAUGGUUACCACGUAUUUCCGUGCCCCUCGGUAAAUCGUCAUACCGAGCAAAAAAUACCAUUUUUUUGAAAUUUUUGAAUUUAAACACUCGAUUUACAGUAAGGUAUGUAGGGUCUAAUUAAUGCAAUGAAAGUUGGUUAUGGCAUGUUGGUAGCAACCUAGUUCCUAUUUUGAGAGGUCUCUGGUUUGAAUAUUCAUUCAUUUUCUUAUUUGAAUUCAAAAUUCAACUAUAAAAUUCGCUCGAAAUAUUCUCGGUAUUUGUCGGUAUUUCUCGGUAACAGUGAUAACCACAUUUAUCAGUCCCCCUCGGUAAAAUUACCUCAUUCGGUAACCAAAACCUUGGCUGUGAUGACUUGCGCUAGCAACUAAUUUGAUAUUCGUAAUGAAUAUUUUCUACUUAAUUUUCGAGUACCUUCUGUUGCAUCAAUCAAACUAGUACUUCGGUUAUAAACAGUUAAGGCUAAACAUGAAAACUACUACAAAAAGAGCCAUUAAUUCGAUCUAGUAUGGUUAUUUAAAAAAAAAGCAGUUCUUCCAUGUGGGCUAAGUAUAGCAGGGAUUAAUCAACGCUAAGGUACGGGGGAAUAAAUACAGAGUAUAUACAAAACAAACAAUGUAGGUGUACCUCUUUCCGGUCAAGAUUUGUGCAGUUUUACGAAUUAGUCUGUCUAUGUUCCAACCCUCUGACUGACAUUCAUUGUCAUCUAUUUGAGAUAACAUAUCCUUCAAGAGCUUAUGUAGAUCAAGAGUGCGUGACACCGAUACAGAAGCUCGACACUGGAAGUCUUCUCCUAGUCCAAUCUUGCGAUACACCUCCAUGGCCAGGGUCGUCUUCCCCAACCCUCCGGACCCGACAAUCGGCACCACUUUCAGCUCCAUACUCUCAUCCAUCAAUAAAGCAGUAACUUGCUUCACUCGGUCGUCCAUUGCCACCAAAUCCUUGACCUCCUCGUGAAGCGAGGUUAGCCGUGGGUCAAUCUCCACCGUCUUCGUUGCACUGUAACAACUCUCAUCAAGCUUGUACCUAGCAUCAUUUUUACAGUAAAAACUUAAUUAAGCUCAUGUUGCAUCAUCCAGAAAUACAUACAAGUGCAAGAGUUAAGAUCCUCGACAAGAACAGCAAAAAAAAGUGCCAGAGUUAGGAAAAAUGUAGUACCUGUCACGACGCUCACUUUCCUCCAUGACGCGAGCCUUGAGCUCCUUGAUCUGGGUGGCGAUGUCAUGGCGCGUCCACAGAGUCUUGAGCCGGCGCGCCGUCCUCUUCAUGAACUUUCGUUUGGCAUCUCCGCUUCCAAGACGGUCCAUGAAGUGGUCGAUGCAGUCUUCCAUGUCGUAGCUGAGGUCACGCACGCUGUCUCUCCAGCCCCUGGCCAGGCCGUCGAGCCUCCCCUUCAUUUCCGCCAGCUUCUCGAGCAGGACCUGCAUCCUGCCGAGCUCGCGCUUGAGGAACUCGAUCUUCUUGCGGACCGCCUUGAGCAGCUUGUACUCGUCGCCGAGAAGCGCGGUGAGCUUGCCGAGGAGGGAGCCCAUCGCCCCCGUCCCGGCGCUCACCCCCGCCAUCUCCCCCGGCUGCCUCCGCCAAGAUCUGAGGGCGUUCUCUCUAGCUCUCGUCUCUGUUCUUUGAUGAAGAAGGUGGGCUAAUGAACUGAUUAGGAAGAGACGAAGAAGCCUGUGAACAGGUGGUAUGGUUGGUGUCUGGUGGUGGAGGAAGAGGAGCAAUGGCGCUGGGCACCAAUAAUGGAGCACACUUGUGCAGCGCUGCCGGGGAAAGAGAGAGGGGGGCUGGAGACAGUGUCUGUGAAGGCACGUGACGAUGGGACUUGUCAAAAGCUAGCACCUUGCUAAACAAGCUAGCUGCUGCUUUGUCAAAAGCUAGAUGCUGCACGAUGCACUGUGUGGUCGAGAAUACCGACGAAGGUGGUGAGUGCCCACACAUAGACCAUUUGAUGUUCAAGGGUGUGUUUGGUUGUAGAACCAAGGGAAACUGAAUGAAAUGGUUUCAUUCUAUUGGAAUGGAAUGGUUCUGUCUUAGUGUUCAGUAGAGCUAAUGACAUGAAACGGUCUUAGCCUUUGGCUAAAAGAAUAGGAUACGAUGCAUGUCACGAAGAAUUAUUAUCUGCAAGUGCUAGUACGGUGAUGAACACCAUUUGGCAAUUAUUAAAUUCCUAUCAACUAGUACUGGUACAGCAUCAACAACGGCGCAUCAACUAGUACUCCCUCCGUCCGAAAACACUUGUCAUCAAAAUAGAUAAAAAAAGAUGUAUCUAGAACUAAAAUAUGUUUAGAUACAUCUCCUUUUAUUCAUUUUAAUGACAAGUACUUCCGGACGGAGGGAGUAAUAAUUAGUACUUCCUCCGUUCCUAAAUAUAAGUCUUUGCAGAGAUUCCACUAUGGACUACAUACGGAGCAAAAUGAGUGAAUCUACACUCAAGAAUGCAUCUAUAUACAUCAGUAUGUGGUUCAUAGUAGAAUCUCUACAAAGACUUAUAUUUAGGAACGGGGGGAGUAUCAAGCAGGGUGGAAGGGAAAUAGAUUUCUUCCAUCACCGGCUAGGUGAAAAUCGCUCCAACCGAGUGGUGUCAGGCACCAACAGCGGUGAGUGGAUGUCGUCCUGCUCGUGCUCUGCUUUGCUCGUCGUUGGAUUUGUGCGAUACACCUAAUAUAGAGAGGAGAGGUGCGGGAGGGAGGCGACGCUGAGGGGGAGAGGCGCACGAGAGAGGUGCUUCCGCGUGGUCCGCUCCUUUUCAAUGACAGAAACCAAACACACCUCAAGUAGGCGCGUGAUGGGUGGGUCGUUGAUUUCGCGCACCGACGGUUUCACACCAUAUUGAAGCAUCUCGGAGCAUCAAUUUUGUUUUCGAAACUGCUACCCAGACAACAGCAAAAAUGCUAUUUUACAGGGGCAAUACAUGCUUCUUUGAACUAACUANNNNNNNNNNNNNNNNNNNNNNNNNNNNNNNNNNNNNNNNNNNNNNNNNNNNNNNNNNNNNNNNNNNNNNNNNNNNNNNNNNNNNNNNNNNNNNNNNNNNNNNNNNNNNNNNNNNNNNNNNNNNNNNNNNNNNNNNNNNNNNNNNNNNNNNNNNNNNNNNNNNNNNNNNNNNNNNNNNNNNNNNNNNNNNNNNNNNNNNNNNNNNNNNNNNNNNNNNNNNNNNNNNNNNNNNNNNNNNNNNNNNNNNNNNNNNNNNNNNNNNNNNNNNNNNNNNNNNNNNNNNNNNNNNNNNNNNNNNNNNNNNNNNNNNNNNNNNNACCAACUGGAUCCACCCCCGUAAAACCCCGUAGUGACUCCGUGCGUGUAGCAUUACUGAGACAACAGUGCUGCCUGAUGUAUGCACGACAUGCUAAUCUAGGCGCUGGUGCCCUUCUCGAUCAUGUGCAUGUCCGACUGGAUUUAAGUAUCGUGCAUGAAUCGUGUGUAUUGUGUCGUGUGUAUAGCACUGCUGUUUUGUUUUCCCCCAUACAUCUAUAAAUGUGAUUCUAUUGUGAAAAUCUGCAUGCCUUCAGAACAAAAAUCAAUGUUUUUUGUCAAAAAAAAUGAAUUUACCGUUUAUCCGAGAUCAUGUGAGCCCGAGCUCACAAUAGCACUUUACAAAGAAGACAUGAGUAUAUGGAUUUGAAUCCUAGUUUUUUUCUGAAAAAAGAAAGAAUCCUAGUAUUUUUUAGAUCGUUUGAUUCGUGGGAAAAAGAACAUGACCAGGAGCUUCCUUUUUUCUCUCUACUCCUUUUUAUAUUUCUUUUUUAUAUUUUAGUAGUAAUUUUAUUUUUUGUUCCUUUUCAAUUUCUUGUUUUCUUUCAUAAAAAUCGUGUAAUUUCAUAUAUAAUCCAUUUAUGUUACUUCCCAAAUAUGUUUAUGUAAUAUUUUGUUUCACAUGCCUAUAUAAUUAGGGCAUCUUCAACGACGACCCGCAAAUUUUCUCUCGCAUCCGUUCGCGCACAGGGGGGUUCAGUUCGCGGACAUGGAUGCGGGAGGCCGCUAUCCAACCAUAGCCGCACACAUUUCAAACACUUUUUCAACAAACCGGAUGAAAUUCAUGCAAACACGGGCAAAAUUCAUAUAAACCUGACAAAUUUCAUACAAACCGAACGAAAACGUUUACAUUUUGGACAUAUUUUAACUAAAAAGGUAAAACUAUGUGCACGUACGGUCGAGCGGAGCUCCAAUCCCACAACAUGGAUACACUACACUACUCUACGGCCGACAGACCCAUGUCCAGCAACCCGCUCAUGGACUGCCGUGAGCCCCGAAGGUAUAUGCUUCAGAGUAAAGGGCGGCUCGCUUACCCAAAACUCAUCGGAGUGGGUCCACCGGCUGAUGCUUCAGCCGGAGGGGAAGGGGGGCGCCUCCGCUUCCGUGUAGUCCAGGCGGGGUUCAACGAUGGUCUGCCCUAAAGAACAUGGAAAGUCACUUACUGUGCAAGCUAGCGAUGCGCCGGGGUAACCUUCCUGGGACCCAAGCAACGGCGGACUCCCAUGUUCUACUUUCCCUCGAUGUCGGUGGCGGACACAGACGCGUUGGCCAUAGACUCGUCGAUUUCCGUGCAUCUGGUUUCUUUCUCUGUCAGCUGAGCGUGGUCACGCGCGCCUUAACGGCAGAUGGUGUAACCGCAGGCAUGGGAGGCGCGGUACGAUGCGGCGGCGUCCACAGCAGCGAUGAUGCACGUGCUGUGAUGCUCCCCGACGGGUUGUCCUGCAUCAACUCGCCACUCCUCCACGAGCUGGCUUGGAGCGAUGAGUUGUUGAACCACGCGCCAACUUGGAGCGGCAACGUGCUCUGUCCGGCUAGGCGGGGGAGGUGGAAUAGUGAGCUGCCUCGCUCAUAUUCAGCCGGCUCAGUUAGUCACUCAUCCGGCUUUUAUGCUGGAGAACUACUCUUCCUGCUUGUUGGUUGCCAUUGAAAGGGUGAAGAAAAUGAUGAAGGAGGAGAUGGACAGCGGCUGAGUGGUGCGAUUCUUGCCUGGCAUCUGGCCUCGUUUAAAUAGAGGACGGAUGGGAGGAGUUUGCCCGGUGUUGCGUCUCCAGUUCACCGACGUGGGACACUCGGCUCCGAUUCCAUUCCAGUUCGCCAAAUCCCCAGAGGCCUACUGUCUCCAGUUCGCUCCACCUCCUCUUCUCCCCGGACAACAUGGGCGAGGUGACGAGGUCAACGGCUGGUUCCGCUCCAAGUCCGUCGCCAGCCUUGAGGACCUCGAGGUCACCAACCUUCAGAGGAGAAACCACUACCCGCUUCGCUAGAGAGGCAAUUUUUUUUUCAGAUGAGCUUUUUUUUAGAAGAUUUUCAUACGAGCUGGUGAGGGAAAUGGUGUGUACGUGCUUACGAUCGCACGAACGGGUUUGUACUGGGCCUUGGAUGCCUUGUGCCUCGUCCAUUUGGGAUGGCCCUGGGCUGUGUUGUGCCGCAGCCUGCCGGCCGUUUACUCUCUCCCUCCAUCCCUCCCUCCCCCUCUCUCUCUCUCGGUUCCCAAAUCCCCCACAGCCAACCACCGGCAAUGGAGGACGCGGCGAUGGCCAUCCCCGAACUGCACACUCACGACAGGCAUGGACCCGUCUGUGUCGACGGCCUACUGGAUCCGCCGGCAGGUGGCGGUAACAUGGACCCUCGUAGACCGAAAGCGAAAGCGGUUGUUUAACGCGGUUGAUGUAGUCAAACGUCUUCUCGUUGCGACCGAUCAAGUACCGAACAUACGACGCCUCCGAGUUCUGCACACGUUCAGUACGAUGACGUCCCUCAAGCUCUUGAUCCAGCAGAGGGUCGAAGGAGUAGAUUAGUUCCGUCAGCACGCGGGCGUGGUGACCGUAAUGGUUAUGUGAUCCGCGCAGGGCUUCGCCUAAGCACUGCGAGAAUAUGGAGAGAGGCGCAAACUGUGGAGGGGGGCGCAGCAACGGCUUCGAACAAUUGAUGUGUGUUCUAGGGGCGCCCCCCUCCCCCCGUAUAUAAAGGAGGGAGGGAGAGGAGGCCGGCCCGAGGCGCGCCCGAAGUAGGAGGAGUCCUACUUGGGGUCCUAGUAGGAUUCGCCCCACCCCCCUCCUUUUACCGGAGGGGGAAAGUGUUGGGGAACGUUGCAGAAAAUAAAAAAAAUUCUACGGUUUCACCAAGAUCAAUCUAUGAGUUCAUCUAGCAACGAGAGAGAGGAGUGCAUCUACAUAUCCUUGUAGAUCGAGCAGAAGCGUUCAAGAGAACAGGGUUGAGGGAGUCGUACUCGUCGUGAUCCAAAUCACCGGAGAUCCUAGCGCCGAACGGACGACACCUCCGCGUUCAACACACGUACUGUCAGGGAGACGUCUCCUCCUUCUUGAUCCAGCAAGGGGGAAGGAGAGGUUGAUGAAGAUCCAGCAGCACGACGGCGUGGUGGUGGAUGCAGCAGGGAUCCUGGCAGGGCUUCGCCAAGCGUCUGCGGGAGGGAGAGGUGUAGCAAGGGGGAAGGGAGGCGCCAAGUGCAAGGGUGCGGCUGCCCUCCCUCCCCCCUCUAUAUAUAGGGUCCCCAGGGGGGCGCCGGCCCUAGGAGAUGGGAUCUCCUAGGGGGGGCGGCGGCCAAGGGGGGUGCCUUGCCCCCCAAGGCAAGUGGAGGCGCCCCCUCCCCUAGGGUUCCCAACCCUAGGCCCAAGGGGGGGGGCGCACCAGCCCACCAGGGGCUGGUUCCCCUCCCACUUCAGCCCAUGGGGCCCUCCGGGAUAGGUGGCCCCACCCGGUGGACCCCCGGGACCCUUCCGGUGGUCCCGGUACAAUACCGGUGACCCACGAAACUUUCCCGAUGGCCGAAACUCGACUUCCCAUAUAUAAUUAUUUACUUCCGGACUAUUCUGGAACUCCUCGUGACGUCCGGUAUCUCAUCCGGGACUGCGAACAACUUUCGGUUUAUUGCAUACUAAUAUCUCUACAACCCUAGCGUCACCGAACCUUAAGUGUAUAGACCCUACGGGUUCGGGAGACACGUAGACAUGACCGAGACGGCUCUCCGGUCAAUAACCAACAGCGGGAUCUGGAUACCCAUGUUGGCUCCCGCAUGCUCCUCGAUGAUCUCAUCGGAUGAACCACGAUGUCGAGGAUUCAAGCAACCCCGUAUACAAUUCCCUUUGUCAAUCGGUAUGUUACUUGCCUGAGAUUCGAUCGUCGGUAUCCCAAUACCUCGUUCAAUCUCGUUACCGGCAAGUCACUUUACUCGUACCGUAAUGCAUGAUCCCGUGACCAGACACUUGGUCACUUUGAGCUCAUUAUGAUGAUGCAUUACCGAGUGGGCCCAGAGAUACCUCUCUGUCAUAUGGAGUGACAAAUCCCGGUCUCGAUCCGUGUCAACCCAACAGACACUUUCGGAGAUACCCGUAGUAUACCUUUAUAGUCACCCAGUUAUGUUGUGACGUUUGGUACACCCAAAGCACUCCUACGGUAUCUGGGAGUUACACGAUCUUAUGGUCUAAGGAAAAGAUACUUGACAUUGGAAAAGCUCUAGCAAACGAACUACACGAUCUUGUGCUAUGCUUAGGAUUGGGUCUUGUCCAUCACAUCAUUCUCCCAAUGAUGUGAUCCCGUUAGCAAUGACAUCCAAUGUCCAUAGUCAGGAAACCAUGACUAUCCGUUGAUCAACGGGCUAGUCAUCUAGAGGCUCACUAGGGACAUGUUGUGGUCUAUGUAUUCACACAUGUAUUACGAUUUCCGGAUAACACAAUUAUAGCAUGAAUAAAAAGACAAUUAUCAUGAACAAGGAAAUAUAAUAAUAAUCCUUUUAUUAUUGCCUCUAGGGCAUAUUUCCAACAGUCUCCCACUUGCACUAGAGUCAAUAAUCUAGUUACAUUGUGAUGAAUCAAACACCCAUAGAGUUCUGAUGUUGAUCAUGUUUUGCUCGCAGAAGAGGUUUAGUCAACGGAUCUGCGACAUUCAGAUCCGUAUGUACUUUGCAAAUAUCUAUGUCUCCAUCUUGAACAUUUUCACGGAUGGAGUUGAAAUGACGCUUGAUGUGCCUGGUCUUCUUGUGAAACCUGGGCUCCUUGGCAAGGGCAAUAGCUCCAGUGUUGUCACAGAAGAGAGUGAUUGGCCCCGACGCAUUGGGUAUGACUCCUAGGUCGGUGAUGAACUCCUUCAUCCAUAUUGCUUCAUGCGCUGCCUCUGAGGCUGCCAUGUACCCCGCUUCACAUGUAGACCCCGCCACGACGCUCUGCUUGCAACUGCACCAGCUGACUGCUCCACGAUUCAACAUAUACACGUAUCCGGUUUGUGACUUAGAGUCAUCCAGAUCUGUGUCGAAGCUAUCAUCGACGUAACCCUUUACGACGAGCUCUUCGUCACCUCCAUAAACGAGAAACAUAUCCUUAGUCCUUUUUAGGUACUUCAGGAUAUUCUUGACCGCUGUCCAGUGUUCCUUGCCGGGAUUACUUUGGUACUUUCCUACCAAACUUACGGCAAGGCUUACAUCAGGUCUGGUACACUGCAUGGCAUACAUAAUAGAUCCUAUGGUUGAGGCAUAGGGGAUGACACUCAUCUCUUCUAUAUCUUCUGCCGUGGUCGGGCAUUGAGCCGAGCUCAAUCUCACACCUUGCAAUAUAGGCAAGAACCUUUUCUUGGACUGAUCCAUAUUGAACUUCUUCAAUAUCUUAUCAAGGUAUGUGCUUUGUGAAAGACCUAUGAGGCGUCUCGAUCUAUCCCUAUAGAUUUUGAUGCCUAAUAUAUAAGCAGCUUCUCCAAGGUCCUUCAUUGAAAAACACUUGUUCAAGUAGGCCUUAAUGAUGUCCAAAAGUUCUAUAUCAUUUCCCAUCAAAAGUAUGUCAUCUACAUAUAAUAUGAGAAAUGCUACAGAGCUCCCACUCACUUUCUUGUAAACGCAGGUUUCUUCAUAAGUCUGUAUAAACCCAAAUGCUUUGAUCAUCUCAUCAAAGCGAAUGUUCCAACUCCGAGAUACUUGCACCAGCCCAGAAAUGGAUCGCUGGAGCUUGCAUACCUUGUUAGCAUUCUUAGGUUCGAUAAAACCUUCCGGCUGCAUCAUAUACAGUUCUUCCUUAAGAUAGCCGUUAAGGAAUGCCGUUUUGACGUCCAUCUGCCAUAUCUCAUAAUCAUAGUAUGCGGCAAUUGCUAACAUGAUUCAGACGGACUUCAGCUUCGCUACGGGAGAGAAAGUCUCAUCAUAGUCAACCCCUUGAACUUGCCGAUAACCCUCAGCGACAAGUCGAGCUUUAUAGAUGGUAACAUUACCAUCCGCGUCCGUCUUCUUCUUAAAGAUCCAUUUGUUUUCUAUCGCUCGCCGAUCAUCGGGCAAGUCUGUCAAAGUCCAUACUUUGUUUUCAUACAUGGAUCCAAUCUCGGAUUGCAUGGCUUCAAGCCAUUUGUUGGAAUCUGGGCCCGCCAUUGCUUCUUCAUAGUUCAAAGGUUCACCAUUGUCUAACAACAUGAUUUCCGGGACAGGGUUGCCAUACCACUCUGGUGUGGAAGGUGUCCUUGUGGACCUACGAAGUUCAGUAGCAACUUGAUCUGAAGUACCUUGAUCAUCAUCAUUAAUUUUCUUUCCAGUCGGUGUAGGCACCACAGGAACAUUUUCCUGAGCUGCACUACUUUUCGUUUCAAGAGGUAGUACUUCAUCGAGUUCUACUUUCCUCCCACUUACUCCUUUUGAGAGAAACUCUUUCUCCAGAAAGGAUCCGUUCUUGGCAACAAAGAUCUUGCCUUCGAAUCUAAGGUAGAAGGUAUACCCAAUGGUUUCUUUGGGGUAUCCUAUGAAGACGCAUUUUUCCGACUUGGGUUCGAGCUUUUCAGGUUGAAAUUUCUUGACAUAAGCAUCGCAUCCCCAAACUUUUAGAAAUGACAGCUUAGGUUUCUUCCCAAACCAUAAUUCAUACGGUGUCGUCUCAACGGAUUUAGACGGUGCCCUAUUUAAAGUGAAUGUAGUUGUCUCUAGAGCGUAUCCCCAAAAAGAUAGCGGUAAAUCGGUAAGAAACAUCAUAGAUCGCACCAUAUCCAAUAAAGUGCGAUUACGACGUUCGGACACACCGUUACGCUGAGGUGUUCCAGGCGGCGUGAGUUGUGAAACGAUUCCACAUUUCCUUAAGUGCGUACCAAAUUCGUGACUUAAAUAUUCUCCUCCACGAUCUGAUCGUAAGAACUUUAUUUUUCGGUCACGUUGAUUCUCUACCUCAUUCUGAAAUUCCUUGAACUUUUCAAAGGUCUCAGACUUAUGUUUCAUCAAGUAAACAUACCCAUAUCUACUUAAGUCAUCAGUGAGAGUGAGAACAUAACGAUAUCCUACGCGAGCCUCAACGCUCAUUGGACCGCAUACAUCAGUAUGUAUGAUUUCCAAUAAGUUGGUUGCUCGCUCCAUUGUUCCGGAGAACGGAGUCUUGGUCAUUUUUCCCAUGAGGCAUGGUUCGCAUGUGUCAAAUGAUUCAUAAUCGAGAGACUCUAAAAGUCCAUCAGCAUGGAGCUUCUUCAUGCGCUUGACACCAAUGUGACCAAGGCGGCAGUGCCACAAGUAUGUGGGACUAUCGUUAUCAACCUUACAUCUUUUUAUAUUCACACUAUAAAUAUGUGUAACAUUACGUUUGAGAUUCAUAAGAAUAAACCAUUGACCAUCGGGGCAUGACCAUAAAACAUAUCUCUCAUAUAAAUAGAACAAUCAUUAUUCUCGGAUUUCAAUGAGUAGCCAUCUCGUAUUAAACGAGAUCCGGAUACAAUAUUCAUGCUUAAAGCUGACACUAAAUAACAAUUAUUGAGGUUUAUAACUAAUCUCGUGGGUAAAUGUAGAGGUAGCGUGCCGACGGCGAUUACAUCGACCUUGGAGCCAUAACCGACGCGCAUCGUCACCUUGUCCUUCGCCAGUCUCUGCUUAUUCCGCAGCUCCUGCUUUGAGUUACAAAUAUGAGCAACGGCACCAGUAUCAAAUACCCAGGAGUUACUACGAGUACUGAUAAGGUACACAUCAAUUACAUGUAUAUCACAUAUACCUUUAGUGUUGCCGGCCUUCUUGUCCGCUAAGUAUUUGGGGCAGUUCCGCUUCCAGUGACCCUUCCCUUUGCAAUAAAAGCACUCAGUCUCAGGCUUGGGUCCAUUCUUUGACUUCUUCCCGGCAACUGGCUUACCGGGCGCGGCAACAUCCUUGCCGUCCUUCUUGAAGUUCUUCUUACCCUUGCCCUUCUUAAACUUAGUGGUUUUAUUGACCAUCAACACUUGAUGUUCCUUCUUGAUUUCUACCUCUGCUGACUUCAGCAUUGAAAAUACUUCAGGAAUAGUUUUUACCAUCCCCUGCAUAUUGUAGUUCAUCACAAAGUUCUUGUAGCUCGGUGGGAGCGACUGAAGGAUUCUGUCAAUGACCGCCUCGUCCGGGAGGUUAAUGUCCAGCUGGGACAGGCGGUUGUGCAACUCAGACAUUUUGAGUAUGUGCUCACUGUCAGAACUAUUUUCCUCCAUCUUACAACUAUAGAACUUGUCGGAGACUUCAUAUCUCUCGACCCGAGCAUGAGCUUGGAAAACCAUUUUCAGCUCCUCGAAUAUCUCAUAUGCUCCAUGUUGCUCAAAACGCUUUUGGAGCCCCGGUUCUAAGCUGUAAAGCAUGCCACACUGAACGAGGGAGUAAUCAUCAGCACGUGACUGCCAAGCGUUCAUAACGUCUUGGUUCUCUGAGAUGGGUGCUUCACCUAGCGGUCCUUCUAGGACAUAUGCUUUCUUGGCAGCUAUGAUGAUGAUCCUCAGGUUCCGGACCCAGUCCGUAUAGUUGCUGCCAUCAUCUUUCAGCUUGGUUUUCUCUAGGAACGCGUUGAAGUUCAUGUUGACAUGAGCGUUGGCCAUUUGAUCUACAAGACAUUUUUUGGCAAAGAUUUUAGACUAAGUUCAUGAUAAUUAAGUUCAGCUAAUCAAAUUAUUUAAUGAACUCCCACUCAGAUUAGACAUCCCUCUAGUCAUCUAAGUGUUACAUGAUCCGAGUCGACUAGGCAGUGUCCGAUCAUCACGUGAGACGGACUAGUCAUCAUCGGUGAACAUCUCCAUGUUGAUCGUAUCUUCCAUACGACUCAUGUUCGACCUUUCGGUCUCUGUGUUCCGAGGCCAUGUCUGUACAUGCUAGGCUCGUCAAGUUAACCUAAGUAUUUUGCAUGUGUAAAUCUGCCUUACACCCGUUGUAUGUGAACGUUAGAAUCUAUCACACCCGAUCAUCACGAGGUGCUUCGAAACAACGAACUGUCACAACGGCGCACAGUUAGGGGGAACACUUUCUUGAAAUUAUUAUGAGGGAUCAUCUUAUUUACUACCGUGGUUCUAAAUAAACAAGAUGCAGAAACAUAAUAAACAUCACAUGCAAUUAAAUAGUAGUGACAUGAUAUGGCCAAUAUCAUAUAGCUCCUUUGAUCUCCAUCUUCGGGGCUCCAUGAUCAUCUUCGUCACCGGCAUGACACCAUGAUCUCCAUCAUCAUGAUCUCCAUCAUCGUGUCUCCAUGAAGUUGCUCGCCAACUAUUACUUCUACUACUACGGCUAAUGGUUUAGCAAUAAAGUAAAGUAAUUACAUGGCGUUAAAUCAUUGACACGCAGGUCAUACAAUAAUUAAGACAACUCCUAUGGCUCCUGCCGGUUGUCAUACUCAUUGACAUGCAAGUCGUGAUUCCUAUUACAAGAACAUGAUCUCAUACAUCACAAUAUAUCAUUCAUCAUUCAUCACAACUUUUGGCCAUAUCACAUCACAAAGCAAUUGCUGCAAAAACAAGUUAGACGUCCUCUAAUUGUUGUUGCAUCUUUUACGUGGCUGCAAUAGGGUUCUAGCAAGAAUAUUUUAUUACUUACGAAAAACCACAACGUGAUUUGUCAACUUCUAUUUACCCUUCAUAAGGACCCUUUUCAUCGAAUCCGCUCCAACUAAAGUGGGAGAGACAGACACCCGCUAGCCACCUUAUGCAACUAGUGCAUGUCAGUCGGUGGAACCUGUCUCACGUAAGCGUACGUGUAAGGUCGGUCCGGGCCGCUUCAUCCCACAAUACCGCUGAAGAAAAAUAAGACUAGUAGUGGCAACAAAGUUUACAACAUCUACGCCCACAACAGAUUUGUGUUCUACUCGUGCAAAGAGAACUACGCAUAGACCUAGCUCAUGAUGCAACUGUUGGGAACGUUGCAGAAAAUAAAAAAAAUUCUACGGUUUCACCAAGAUCAAUCUAUGAGUUCAUCUAGCAACGAGAGAGAGGAGUGCAUCUACAUACCCUUGUAGAUCGAGCGGAAGCGUUUAAGAGAACGGGGUUGAGGGAGUCGUACUCGUCGUGAUCCAAAUCACCGGAGAUCCUAGCGCCGAACGGACGGCACCUCCGCGUUCAACACAGGUACGGUCAGGGAGACGCCUCCUCCUUCUUGAUCCAGCAAGGGGGAAGGAGAGGUUGAUGAAGAUCCAGCAGCACGACGACGUGGUGGUGGAUGCAGCAGGGAUCCCGGCAGGGCUUCGCCAAGCGUCUGCGGGAGGGAGAGGUGUAGCAAGGGGGAAGGUAGGCGCCAAGUGCAAGGGUGCGGCUGCCCUCCCCCCUCUAUAUAUAGGGUCCCCAGGGGGGGCGCCGGCCCUAGGAGAUGGGAUCUCCUAGGGGGGCGGCGGCCAAGGGGGGUGCCUUGCCCCCACAAGGCAAGUGGAGGCGCCCCCUCCCCUAGGGUUCCCAACCCUAGGCGCAAGGGGGGCCCAAGGGGGGGCGCACCAGCCCACCAGGGGCUAGUUCCCCUCCCACUUCAGCCCAUGGGGCCCUCCGAGAUAGGUGGCCCCACCCGGUGGACCCCCGGGACCCUUCCGGUGGUCCCGGUACAAUACCGGUGACCCCCGAAACUUUCCCGAUGGCCGAAACUCGACUUCCCAUAUAUAAUUCUUUACUUCCGGACCAUUCCAGAACUCCUCGUGACGUCCGGGAUCCCAUCCGGGACUCCCAACAACUUUCGGUUUGCUGCAUACUAAUAUCUCUACAACCCUAGCGUCACCGAACCUUAAGUGUGUAGACCCUACGGGUUCGGGAGAACGUAGACAUGACCGAGACGGCUCUCCGGUCAAUAACCAACAGCGGGAUCUGGAUACCCAUGUUGGCUCCCGCAUGCUCCUCGAUGAUCUCAUCGGAUGAACCAUGAUGUCGAGGAUUCAAGCAACCCCGUAUACAAUUCCCUUUGUCAAUCGGUAUGUUACUUGCCCGAGAUUCAAUCGUCGGUAUCUCAAUACCUCGUUCAAUCUUGUUACCGCAAGUCACUUUACUCGUACCGUAAUGCAUGAUCCCAUGACCAGACGCUUGGUCACUUUGAGCUCAUUAUGAUGAUGCAUUACCGAGUGGGCCCAGAGAUACCUCUCCAUCAUAUGGAGUGACAAAUCCCAGUAUCGAUCCGUGUCAACCCAACAAACACUUUCGGAGAUACCCGUAGUAUACCUUUAUAGUCACCCAGUUACGUUGUGACGUUUGGUACAGCCAAAGCACUCCUACGGUAUCCGGGAGUUACACGAUCUCAUGGUCUAAGGAAAAGAUACUUGACAUUGGAAAAGCUCUAGCAAACGAACUACACGAUCUUGUGCUAUGCUUAGGAUUGGGUCUUGUCCAUCACAUCAUUCUCCCAAUGAUAUGAUCCCGUUAUCAAUGACAUCCAAUAUCCAUAGUCAGGAAACCAUGACUAUUUGUUGAUCAACGGGCUAAUCAAGUAGAGGCUCACUAGGGACAUGUUGUGGUCUACGUAUUCACACAUGUAUUACGAUUUUCGGUUAACACAAUUAUAGCAUGAAUAAAAAGACAAUUAUCAUGAACAAGAAAAUAUAAUAAUAAUCAUUUUAUUAUUGCCUCUAGGGCAUAUUUCCAACAGAAAGGGGGGGAGAGGGAGAAGGAGAAAGGGAGGGGGCGGCGCCCCCUCCCCUUGUCUAAUUCGGACUGCUCCCUGGUGGGGGGCGCGCCACCCCUUUGUGGGCUAGUGUGCCUCCCUCCUAUGGCCCAUAUGGCCCAUAUCUUUCCCCAGGUGGUUCCGGUAACCCCUCCGGUACUCUAAUAUGUACCCGAUACAUUUCAGAAUCCUUCUAGUGUCCGAAUACUACCUUUCAAUAGAUCAAUCCUUACCUCUCGACCAUUUAGAGACUCCUCGUCAUGUCCGUGAUCUCAUCCGGGACUCCGAACAACCUUCAGUCACUGUCGGGGAUAUACCCCGCAGUAUGACCCGGCCGGAGUCGUAACCCGGCCGGGACUUGGUGAACCGGUGGGUGUUAAACCGGCAGAGAGUCAAGACAGAUGGCUAAAACAGACGGUAAACUGGCUGGUGGUAAACCGGCAGACAAUGUUAAACCGGCAGACAGUGUUAAACCGGCAGAGAAUGUUAAACCGGCAGACAAUGUUAAACCGGCAGACAAUGUUAAACCGGCAGACGUUGAGAAGCCUAGGAAAGGAAGUCAAAAUAGUUUAAGUCUUAAUCCGAGAUGAACUCUACAUGUAACCCGUCCCUCUAACUUAUAUAAGGAGGGGAAGGGCUCCCCAAAAAGGGACAAGCAAGAAACAAUCUCUAGGGCUAGACACAACUAGAGGAGAGCCGGUUUACAACGACUCCCUCGUGAUGAUAAUGAGAUCUAGCCUCAAACAACAUGUAGGGUAUUUACCGGAUGAUGUUUCCCGGGGCCCGAAGCUGUCUAAAUCCUUGUCUUGUGUUGCGUCUCUCGAUUCCGCUCAACCCCUCUCAAGCUACCACAUAGGUGCGUUGGCCUCGCGACUAAGUCCUGACACUAAGGACAUCUGACGUGUUAAUUCCACGACAGUUGGCGCCCACCGUGGGGCUGACGCACGAUGGUGUUGAGUCCUUGGAGAGAUCUCUCCAAGGGAUUGAGAAGUUCACAAAAUUUCGGAUGAGGAAAGAUUCAGCAUGAAAGGAUUCAUAUCAAUUACAAGUUCAUAUGUCAAGAUCAAAGAAGUUUUUAGUGGUAGCAUAUACAAAAUUCAGGUACAAGAGAAGUUAGGUUUCCAUCUAUGUACAGUGUCACAUCGUCUUAAUCCGCCGAGUCCAAGUAUGAGCCGGUCCGGAUCAAAGUCGGCAGAUGAUCAGAUUAAACUUGCAAGUUGUGGCACUUUUGCUCACGAGAAGCAUUGCCGUGAUUUGGGUUCGCUUGCCCCGAGAAAAAAAGGGGGGGAGAGCCGCCAGUGUACAGAAGAUGUUGAUUCAACAAAAAAAGGAGGAAAAGGGGGCUACGACCCGGAGAAGGACUUGGGCCUUGACCCGGAUUCCUCUUCUACCGCUGUGAUCCAUGCCUUGCCAGGCCAGUUUGCCCUGUUCGCUCCGGAUCGCUGGUACCCCGCCCAUGAGUCGCCGCUCCGUUUUGACUCGCCCUCGAGGAGUGGCUAGACUGGUUCUGCCGGGCGCUGUUUCUGCUUACUCCGGGUUAUUGGCAUCCCGUAGAUGAGUCGCCGUUUCGACCCGCCCUCGCUGACCAACAUCGUCAUCAGAGAUUCAUCUCCAUUUCAAGUUGCCUACGUCGACCCGCCGUCAAUUUGAGUUGCUAUCAAAGGCACAUCCGCCCCGGCGGUCGACCAGGUUGUAGCCACUGGCCUUGCUACGCGAGUCGCGUGCUUCUGCUGGUCAGGGUCGCCUCGAUCCGGCCACCAUCGUCUCCGCCAUCCCGUGCGACCCAGCUCACUGCGGCGCCCUGCCGGGUCUCCCACGCCUGAGUCGCCUCAGCCUCCGUGGAACAGCAGUCCCAGUGUUGAAACCGCCGCCGGACCAAGUCCUAGCCUCACCACCGCCCCCGCGGCUGUCUGAGUCACCAUCGCCUUACAAGACGCUGGACUUCCACUGCGGCCUCGAGCCACCGGGUCAACAGCCACCGCCGCCGGCUCCUUCAGCAAGAAUAUGACCGCGGGUCCAGGUCGAUGGCAGUCUCACCUCUGUUGGCGCCGCCUCCUCGCAGCGCCGCUUCUUCUUCUACCUUGAGCUGCCUUGCACAACUCUCUCCUCUCUCUCUAUCUCUCAAGAACACACCACGGGACACACACGCACACACACUUCACCGUGGGAGGAACCAGCUUUGCCUUGUCUCCCGGUGAAAAUCACAAGCACUACAUGUUUUCUCAGCCCUCUCGGCCUCCGUUUUAUUCAAUCAAUGCAAUACUUAUAUACAUCAGCUAGCACGGCCAGGAGCCAACUCCAUGAUCCGUUUCCUAUGCUCACGUUUAGGACGUGUCCAACUACUCCACUAUUACAGCUGCAUGCAACCUCCAUCUGCUACAUACACGUACUAAUUAACUUGACCAAAUCACUCGGCCAUACCUCAACCAACCAUGCACUAACUAACUAGAUAAUCUCCCAGUACAUGCAUGCACCACCGCAGCUUCACGCCACAACGGCAUCUCACCAAGCUGCCGCAUCACACGGCCCUCAGCAUCUUCCAUGCAGAUACAUGACCAUGACAAGAUUAAAACUAACAACCUCGCCUCCAAGUCGGAUUCAUUUUACCUCGCCAAGUCGCCACCAGGUCACCACGGAGCGGCCCCGCUAAAUCGCCGCCGGGUCACCCUUGCAGUGCCCUGCGCCGCCGCGUCGGCCGGCUUUGAGUCGUCACUCGCCGACCGUGCCUUCCGCCGGCCACGCCAGUCUUCCACCUGCUACUGCACCGGUUGGAGCCGCCCCAGCCUCCCUUUGAGUCGCCGCCGUGCGCCUCUCCCCUGCUGCGAGAGCCGCUCCGUUGCUGUGAGUCGCCGGUGCCGUCUCGUUUUUACCCUUGAACCGGAUGGUGCAGCGGUCACCGUCGCCUUGCUCCGGUUCACUGUUUCAGCAGCGCCGCUCCAUCACUCCCGCCAUGGUUCAGCAUGCUGAGCUGACCCGCCAUAGCCACGGUCUUCGCCUCCAUUGUCGAGUGCCGGUGCCUCUGCUCUAAACCGCCACUGUGUUGGAGCACACUGAGCACCACUUCACGGUGCAUUAUGCUGUGCUGAGCCGCGGAGCACUGUUUUGCUGAUUUCAAACCCCGAGGCAUCAAUUCAUCAGCUACUGGUGCUGUGACAUUGUGGUUAAAGGUCAAGGAUAAUUUCAUCAACUACAAGUGCUACCGACAAGUACUAGGUGCUCACGUAGUACUGUUCCUGCAAGUCCUUCUGUACAAAACUGAAGGAAAAAGUCUGUUUCUUGGAGGAGGCUGAGAUGCCCGGCGCCCCUGAGUCGCCGCUUUCAUUGCGAUCGAUCGCCUUGCUCUGCUUUGCGCCGGGCGCCAUCGCCUCACCCCUGAAUCGCAGUCGCCGUCGCCUCACUACUGAGUUGUCGUUUCCUCACCUUUGCCUCUCAAGCUGCGUCAAGCCGCCACACCCCCGAGUCGCCACCGGGUCACCGCUGAGCGGCCUUGCCUUCGCCUUGUGCUGCCCCCUUUGCUGGUGCGCCAAACUACCCCGGCCUUGCGCCACCUCCGCUGCGGCCGCGCAUUGCUGCCGCUCUCCAAGUGGUAUUGCCAGGAAUUAUUUUUGUUUCUCCAACAUCAAAGUAUACGGCCGGGGGUUUGGCUGCCCACUUGUCUGCCGCAUGGACCGGGCGUCAAACCGCCAAAGGCCUAUAGACAGGCAUAUUCUGCCCAUCAUCCCUGCGUUUCAGUAUACAUCAACUCGUCAGGUCACCCGGCAGAUACCCACACAAGUUGUCAAGAUUGAUCAUUCAAAAAGGAGUUCUAUGCAUGUACGUGACAUGCUGCUGCAGAGGAGGAACAUGCACGUCCCAAAAUUUGUGUGCAAGUGAUACCCUGUUGAAAAUGAUACAGCAAUUGCAUGCAACUGCUGAUCAUCAGAUGUUCACAUUAGAUGGGUCAUACCAUCGCCGGUUUGUCUACAGAGUUAUAUCCAGAUUAUCUGUCGUCUGGACAAAUCCAGGUGCUAUCUUCUCUAUAUAUUUUAUUAACACAUAUUUUUUCUAUCAAAAGACAAAUUACUUUGAUUUGUAUAUUUUUAUAUAUACAGGACCAUUAUUCACUAUAAAUGUGGUUUAUACCACGGAUAUGGAGCACGGAUUGAUAAUAUUUUCGCCUGGGGAUAAUCCCGGACAUAUCACAUGAUGAAUAGACGCACACGAGUUGCUGCUCUUGUGGACCGGUUCACAUCAGCUUGCUGGGAUCGCGUCUGCCCGUUGUCAAUGGACGCGCGCAAAUCGCCGCCCCCGAGGCCUGGUCUACAUCAACCCACUGGGCCGCACCUGUCCGGAUGAGCUGUUUAUUGAGUAUGAGCAAGUCACUGCUUGGGUAGCCGGUUUUUCUUCCAACAAAUUGGAGGCAAAUUAUCAUCAACCGCCAUCUGCACUGGAUGGAUCAAUGGACAUGCACACAAAUCGUUGCCACUACAGUUAAGUUAAAUUUCAAACAACCAGUUGGAAAGAACCAUUGGCCGAGUUGCUGCCACGGCUCAUACGACAUCAUUUAUAACCCGCCGCAGUCAUCUCAACCUUCUGUGGAUUUACAUCGCGUUAUCAAACCAAUGAUAUAUACCUUCUGCUAUGGUCAAGUACGGAGAAUCUCAAGACAACUCCUUGAGUCAUCUUAAAACUCGGGGGCUACGAUGAUAUGACUCAGCAAGUCUUGCCAGUUUCAGCAAACUCAAGUGCCCCAGGAUGUUGAAGGGAAAGAUAACCCGGUCCCGGAAGCUACUGUUAUAUUGAUGAAAAUUUAAAAGCAGUCAGAGAAUUUCCGGCUCAAAAAGUAUAUGACAAAAUCCCGGCUCAAUGAAGAAGUUCCGGGUCAUCAGAAAGGAUUCCGGUUUACAAUCCGGUUCAAGGGGAAAUCUAUCUCCCACAAAUCUCUGAAGCUCUCAAUAUCCGGUUUAAAAUCCCGGUUCAAGAAGAAUUUAUCUCUUGCAAAAAGUUAAAGGUUGCCAAAGAGGACCUGCUGCCCUGACGCGCAGUUCAAACAUCGGUAUCCUACCUUAUGGGCUCAUCUUCAUAUGAUUACUUGGGGGAUUCCUGUUCAAACAUAGGUGUAUUCACCAAAGAGAACAUGGCGUUACUACCCUCUUGAUGCGGCUAUCAAGACAAUAUUAUCAUCAGGGGCCAAAGAGAGUUUGUUGCACAACACAACUCAAACAUAGGCACCCGGCGAGCACAGCUCAGAAAUAUAUCACAUGGGGGCUUCUGCUUGCAAAGCGGAGUCCUGUCCAUUAAUCCGGCUAUCACGCCACAAACAGCUUGGGAGCUUCACACCCAGAGGGGCAAAGAGAGUCUGGAUGCUAUGCAUAGCUCAAACAUAGGCACCUAAUGAGCACAUCUCAUCAUGUUACUUGGGGGCUCUUUGUGUCAAAUACCAAGGAGUUUGAAUGGACCCUUGUAGCUGGGUAUUGACCCAUGGCUUGGAAGCCUGAUAUAUUUACCUAAAACCCCGGGUUAACCUGCCUUCAUCAAGUAAGACACUCCUAUCCAGGUAAUCCUGGCAUGAUCGUCUGAACGUUUGACAGUUACUCUCAUUGAGACCCUGAACUUGUCAAAGUUAAAACAGUGAUUGAUUAGUGGAGGUCCAUCUUAAAAGGCUUUGCAAAAAUGGUUUAACUCAGCGGCCUGGCAUCCCAUGAAAAGCCUCGAAUUUGGGUCUGGCAGCCCUUCAAAAGCCUCGACUACACGGUUUUAUUUUCCUUGGUCAACAUUUUCUCUCUUUUGAUAAAUUUUAUGUUGAACCGGUGUCUAUUGACUCGUCAUGACUAUCAGUCAUCAAAUUAACCCGGUGUUCAUUAACCCGGCUCGACUUUCAACUACAAGUUGUCAGUACAUAAUCACUUAUAAUCCGGUGUUUAUUGACCCGGCCUGGCUUUGGACUAUAAGUCGCCAGUAUAUAUUUGGAUUGCGCCAUUGAAAUUAUGCGCUUAUAAAUCAUUGGGUAUAUUAUUCAAAUAGCCAACAUGGCUGGAUUUUUAUUCUGGUUAUCAAAAACCUUUAUUAUGAUUAAGGUUUUCAAAGUCGCUUUAGCGCAAUGGCUAUCAUAUUAUCAAUAGAUAUGAUUUAUUCUACAAUUGAAGGAAUAGUCCUGAGUUGCUGCAGGCUUACGACCCGGCACUUGGGGGCUACAUUAUUUCAGUUGAAAUUACAUCAAAUACACAAGUCUCAUGUCGCUGCAAGCAUGCAUCAUGAUACUUGGGGGCUAAUGCAAAGUCAUUUUUUUGCUCACCUUAUUGAAGACCCGACUUAUCACAUCGUAAUGAGCCUGCCCUUGGGGGCUACCAAUUGCUUCUGUAAAAAAUUCAAGGUACAAAGUUUUUUAUCCACUACAUUAUCCACUGCUCAGUUGGUAAAGCACAAGGCUCUUAACCUUGUGGACAUGGAUUCAAGCCCCAUGAUGGGGGUUACAUCAUACGAUGUUAUUUUUAUUGAAGUAUAUAUCAAGUCCCAGCUCAAUAUUAUCUUACUGAGCCGGACCUUGGGGGCUACAUUGUUGUUGUUCAAAGUGUACAUGAUUAUAUUUACAAAAUCCCUGCUCAUUAUUACAUAAUGAGCCGGUCCUUAGGGGCUACACUGGUUGAAGUUUUUUAUGAGCAUCAGGAAAUUACAAGUCCCAGGUUGCUGCAAGCAUGACAACCCGGUACUUGGGGGCUACAUAUACGGAAUACUCAGUUCUGACUAGUGAUUGAAGAUGAACAAACUGGAUUUCUUCAAGCUUGUGACAUUCAUAUUGAAGCAAAUCUUAAGUUGUUACUACAUUACCUUCUUAAGAUUUGAGGACUACAAGUGAUGGGUAUAUAAGAGGUAUAUUUUCAAAAGCUGAUGUCAACAAACAGUUAUGAUCCGGUGCCAUCAAUAUUUGUAAACCGACAAGUUUUACAUUCUUAAACCGGCCAAGUUUUACAUUCUUAAACCGGCUGAAGAUCAGAUGAGUAUUUCAAGGACCAAUAUUGUUUUUAAGCAUUGGGAGCUGAAUCAAAGGAGUUAUUCUUCACAAUAUAUUUUCUAUGAGAAACCAAUAUCAGCAAGUUGAUUAUGAAGCUGGUCUAUUGAACCAGAUUUUCUAGAAGAAAGAAGUGACAAGGACUUCAGGAUGAUCAGGAUCAGUUUAACAUGGAUAAAUCCAAAUUAAACCGGGGGCUAAUGUCGGGGAUAUACCCCACAGUAUGACCCGGCCGGAGUCGUAACCCGGCCGGGACUUGGUAAACCGGUGGGUGUUAAACCGGCAGAGAGCCAAGACAGAUGGCUAGGACAGACGGUAAACCGGUGGGUGUUAAACCGGCGGAGAGUCAAGACAGAUGGCUAAGACAGACGGUAAACCGGUUGGUGGUAAACCGGCAGACAAUGUUAAACCGACAGACAAUGUUAAACCGACAGACAGUGUUAAACCGGCAGACAAUGUUAAACCGGCAGACAGUGUUAAACCGGUAGACAAUGUUAAACCGGCAGACGUUGAGAAGCCCAGGAAAGGAAGUCAAAAUAGUUUAAGUCUUAGUCCGAGAUGGACUCUACAUGUAACCCGCCCCUCUAACUUAUAUAAGGAGGGGCAGGGCUCCCAAAGAGGGACAAGCAAGAAACAAUCACUAGGGCUAGACAUAACUAGAGGAGAGCCGGUUUACGGCGACUCCCUCGUGAUGAUAAUGAGAUCUAGCCUCAAACAGCAUGUAGGGUAUUUACCGGAUGAUGUUUCCCGGGGCCCGAAGCUGUCUAAAUCCUUGUCUUGUGUUGCGUCUCUCGAUUUCGCUCAACCCCUCUCAAGCUACCACAUAGAUGCGUUGGCCUCGCGACUAAGUCCUGACACUAAGGACAUCUGACGUGUUAAUUCCACGACAGUCACCAAAACACAUAACUCAUAUAAUACAUAUCGUCAUCGGACGUUAAGUGUGUGGACCCUACGGGUUCGAGAACUAUGUAGACACGACCGAGACACCUCUCCGGUCAAUAACCAAUAGCGUAACCUGGAUGCUCAUAUUGGUUCCCACAUAUUCUAUGAAGAUCUUUAUCGGUCAAACCGCUAUGUCAACAUACGUUAUUCCCUUUGUCAUCGAUAUGUUACUUACCCGAGAUUCGAUCGUUGGUAUUUUCAUACCUAGUUCAAUCUCAUUACCAGCAAGUCUCUUUACUCGUUCCGUAAUGUGUCAUCCCUCAACUAACUCAUUAGUCACAUUGCUUGCAAGGUUUCAUAUGAUGUGCAUUACCGAGAGGGCCCAGAGAUACCUCUCUGAUACUCGGAGUGACAAAUCCUAAUCUCGAUCUAUGCCAACCCAACAAACACCUUCGAAGAUACCUGUAGAGCAUCUUCAUAAUCACCCAAUUACGUUGUGACGUUUGAUAGAACACAAAGGCAUUCCUCCGGUGUCCGGUAGUUGCAUAAUCUCAUAGUCGGAGAAAUAUGUAUUUGACAUGAAGAAACCAGUAGCAAUAAAACUGAACGAUCAUUAUGCUAAGCUAACGGAUGGGUCUUGUCCAUCACAUCAUUCUCCUAAUAAUGUGAUCCCGUUCAUCAAAUUACAACACAUGUCCAUGGCUAGGAAACUUAACCAUCUUUGAUCAACGAGCUAGUCUAGUAGAGGCAUACUAGGGACAUGGUGUUUUGUCUAUGUAUUCACACAUGUAUUAAGUUUCCGGUUAAUACAAUUCUAGCAUGAAUAAUAAACAUUUAUCAUGAAUAAUAAACAUUUAUCAUGAAUAAGGAAAUACAAAAUAACAACUUUAGUAUUGCCUCUAGGGCAUAUUUCCUUUAGCAACCUCGACCUCGACCUCAUUAGCCGCCUUCCUGACGCGGUGGCUGGCACCGUUGUCUCCCUCCUCCAGACCAAGGACGGCGCGCGCACGUAGGCCGUCUCCCGCCGCUGGCGCCCCCUUGCGCUCCUCGGAAACGCUGCUCAACCUCGUGGCGGAUCAUGCCCUCUCACGAGACGAUUCACGCGCCACGCUGGUCUUCAAGAUCCUCUCCGACCACCCCGGCCCGGCCCGCCGCUUCUUGCUCCACCUCCUCUUCUCCCCCGAUAGCAUAGGCGAGGUCGACGACUGGUUCAGCUCCAGGUCCCUUGCCGGCCUCAAGGACUUGGAGGUCACCAACCUUCAGAGGAGGAACCACUACCCACUGCCACCGCACUCGCUGACCCGCUUCACGCCCACACUGCGCGUGCUCGGCCUCGGCGGCUGCUGAUUCCCUGCCCUGGCCAUGCCACCGAGCUUCAUGCACCUCAAGAAGCUCAUCCUCUAUGACGUCGACAUCUCGGAGCAAUCUCUGCGAAGCAUAAUUUGUGGCUGCACUGUUUUUCAAAGUGUCUCGCUGCACAACAUGGGCUUUGGUUGACGAGGACAUGUACCUAGGAUAGGGUCCCAGGCCUGACCUACAUACCCUACCGAAGGGCAUUACAUACAAGAACCCAAGGCCUACAAAGUUAGAAAGGAGGCACCGACUGGAAUGACCGCAUCGUACAAGUCACUUGAACAAAGGAUCCACUCGAAAACUUCUCCAUCACUCGACUGUCCCUAUUCACUCAGAGUACCAACCGUCACUUGAAGGCAGAAGACCUAGAGCAACCUUGGUAUGGAAACGGUCGGGCAAUCAGUUCGUCACCCUAAAGAGCAUCAAAUACAAACGUUACUAGUAAUGCUCGCACCCUUUACUUCUCCAUUGAAACCUUGGGUAACGGGGCAUUCAUGAGGGGCCAGCAGGCUCUAUAUAAGCUGCCCCUCUGCUCCUGCACAAGGGGUCGCACCCCUUGUAACACAUCACACCAGAUAACAAAACUCUUGCACCACCGAGAGGCAGGGUCUUUACCUCUUCUGAAAGGGUCUGAACUCGGAGUGUACGACCUCGCCGUAGCUAGGCUCUGCCCUCCUAUACGUACUCCUAACCUCUACUAUCAUAUCUGUUCCCACGACAAUGGUCGCCUUUGCAUCAGCUCGCCAACGCUCAGGAGCAUCGUCUUCUAUGCUCCUCAUGCCGAAGGUGUCCUCACCUUCCAGGAGCUGGUCAUUGAGGACGUCCCUUGCCUUGAGAGGUUGCUACUGAUUUAUCCAGACUCUAGUCCGACGACCAUACAAGUGAUCCGGGAUCCUAAACUGGAGAUACUUGGUUCGUUGUCUGAACAAAUAUCCACACUCCACCUUGGAAAACCACAGUCUUUCAGGUAGCAGCAAAGACAAUCGUGCAUUUACCAUUCCUGUAGGCAUGCUUUUAUUCUUACAACACACUUGUUUUAUUUUUCUCGAGAAGAUGAUUGUUGUCAGCUUGACAACCAAAAUGCACUCGAUGAAGAUUUUGGUUCUUGACUCUAUUGGCCCUAAUCUGGGUGUGGUUAUUGACUUUUUGAAGUACUUCCCCUACUUGGAGAAGCUUUAUGUCAUUGUGAGUACUCAUAUUUAUUGCUAGAAAUGUCAAAACAACAUUUGUUCAGAAUUAUGAUCUAGUGAACUACUAGUAUUUAGCUGCCAAUUUGUUACCGACCAAAAGAAUGCAGCCGCCCUUGCUUGUCUGUCUAGUGUUGUCACACCCUUAGAGCAUGUCUAGUAGAACCCUCAAACCCUCACUAGCGUUUUAAGGGUCCAAAAAUGGUCUUUUUGUGCACUUUUACGGGUUGAAAAACAGGGGCAAAGAUUAGAACCCUCAAACCCAACCCUUAUAACGGAAUAUUCCCCAUGAACGACGUUGUCAUUGCGGGCAUACCGUCGAGCACCUCGUGCACGACAGGCAGAGGGCGGCGCGGGGGCGGAGGGCGGAUGGCGUGGCAGGCGCGGUCGGAGGGCAGUGGCCAGGGGGUGGGAGGCGGAGGCGGAGGGCGUGGGAGCGGGCACGGGCCGGAGGGCGGUGGCGGCGGGUUGACACGAAGGGCGCGAAGUCAGAGGGGCGCGGGNNNNNNNNNNNNNNNNNNNNNNNNNNNNNNNNNNNNNNNNNNNNNNNNNNNNNNNNNNNNNNNNNNNNNNNNNNNNNNNNNNNNNNNNNNNNNNNNNNNNNNNNNNNNNNNNNNNNNNNNNNNNNNNNNNNNNNNNNNNNNNNNNNNNNNNNNNNNNNNNNNNNNNNNNNNNNNNNNNNNNNNNNNNNNNNNNNNNNNNNNNNNNNNNNNNNNNNNNNNNNNNNNNNNNNNNNNNNNNNNNNNNNNNNNNNNNNNNNNNNNNNNNNNNNNNNNNNNNNNNNNNNNNNNNNNNNNNNNNNNNNNNNNNNNNNNNNNNNNNNNNNNNNNNNNNNNNNNNNNNNNNNNNNNNNNNNNNNNNNNNNNNNNNNNNNNNNNNNNNNNNNNNNNNNNNNNNNNNNNNNNNNNNNNNNNNNNNNNNNNNNNNNNNNNNNNNNNNNNNNNNNNNNNNNNNNNNNNNNNNNNNNNNCGGGAGGUCGACGGGGCGGCCGGCGGCGGCGGGGGCGACUAGCAGCGGCGGACACGGGCGUGGGCGCGGGAGUUGGGAGGAUUUUUACUUCCCGCGCGAGGAUAACCGCCAAAUGAGGGUUGGGGUAGGUUUUGAUCCCCAACCCUUACUUCUGAGGGUUGGGAGAGGGUUUGAGGGUUGGACCCUUAAAAAAAUUUGAGGGUUUGAGGGUUAAGGGGUUCUAGUCUACGCGAUUUUUUGCUCGCAAACAGUAAAAGAAUAGUUAUUUAUAAGGGUUUGUGGGUUUGAGGGCUCUGCUAGAGAUGCUUUUAGGAGAACAUCUCUAGCCGCACCUCCAACAGCCCCACCCCAGGCCCUUUUUGAGCGCCGGCGCUAAAAAAAGGCUCAGUCGCGCCCCCAGAAGCCCAUUUUUUGCCGGUUAGGCCCGAUUUUGGCGCCGGCGAACCCAAUCCGAAGCCGGCGCUGGGGGCGCCCAGGGGCACCGGGGGAAGCAUUUUUGACGGGAAAGGUCGGCGGGCCCACCGAGUCAGCGACCAGCUGCGUCUCGUCUUCCUCAUCGCCUCGUUUUCCCGCGGGGAAUCAAUGCCAAGGUUGCCGCCGGUCAGCCUUCCAUUAAUUCCUCAUGGGCGGCGCAGUGACGGCACGGCGGCGCACCCACAUACACACACGUCUGCCGCCCCCAUGCGGCUAUAAAAAGCCGCCCUAUCCCUCCCCGGUGGAUGCAUUCUCCUUCGCACGCAGUCCCUCCCUUACUCGUCGACGACGCCUCAUCCCGUCUCUCUCUCUUGCCUCCUCCAGCCACCUCGUCCGUUGAUGGGAAAGCGUUUCCCCGGCGCCGGUGUGACGGCCAACGGCUUCGGCCGUCGCACCCUGCACGAGUGGGAGGCGUACCUCCUGCACGAGGCCAACUACCCAUCAUCGCCUGACAUGCGCGUGCCGAGGCGGUGGAGGCUCAGCGCCGGAGGUGUCCCCGUCCCCCCACAGCCCGACGCCGGCCGCUUCCACGGUGAGAUCGUGCGCAUUCGGGCCUCCAUGCCGGAGGAGGUGCGCGGCGCCUGGUGUACGCCGCCAACAACCACGCCAGCUGGGCGGCGUACUUCCAACGCCGCCUCGAGGAGCAGGUCGCCUCCACCAACAACCACCAACAACGCGUUGGUGAUGAUGCGCCACAACGCCGAUGGCCGCCGCCUGUGGUGGGGCAUCCCCGGGCGGACACUGCACUACGUCCUCGAGUACCUCGAGGGCGGCAACCAGCCGCCACUCCUGUAUUCGGCGGCCCCGGUGCCUGUCCCCCGCCGGAGCGGCGACAUUUGGAUGCCGAGGUGCAUGGCGGGUGGGUCGUCGUCCUCCUCCUCCUUCUCCUCCUCCCGCUCCACCAGUUUGCCGGCGCUCGCCAGCGUGAAGGCUGAGCCCGUGGAGACGCCGCUCGGGCGGCACACCCGUCCUCGUCAUCAAGGAGGGCGGUCGUGGCUCCUCCUCCUCCUCUUGCCUCAUCAAGCCAAAAACGGAGCCGGGGCUCAUCGCCGUGAAGAGCGAGUACGGCGACAUUGCCGCCGUCGACGAGGCCGCCAUCAAGUGGGCGCGUGAGGACUGCGUCCGGCUGGAGACGGAGCGCCAGCACUGCACCCUUGAGGAGUUCGCCGCUCGGCACCGCGGCCGCGAUGAGGGCGGUGUCAUUGUCCUCGAGGACAGUGACAAUGACGCACCACCGCCGCCCACCAAACCUGUCCGCCAAGGCGACCUAGGGAAGAGUGCAGUAAGGACGGCGGCGGCGUGAAGAAGGAGGAGGGCAACAACGGUGACUACAACACCUUUGGCGCGCUCUUCGGCCUGUAGGAGGGGCGGCGGACGGCGGCACAGUAGUUCUACUUUAUGUUUUUUAAGUUUUUAAAUUAUGUUUUUUAAGUUUUUAUGUACAAAUAUGAAUGAAAUCGCCUAGUUUGGCCGAAUAUGUGUCGUGUUUGGCCGAGUUUACUUUUCAAAAAACGGCGUCUGGGNNNNNNNNNNNNNNNNNNNNNNNNNNNNNNNNNNNNNNNNNNNNNNNNNNNNNNNNNNNNNNNNNNNNNNNNNNNNNNNNNNNNNNNNNNNNNNNNNNNNNNNNNNNNNNNNNNNNNNNNNNNNNNNNNNNNNNNNNNNNNNNNNNNNNNNNNNNNNNNNNNNNNNNNNNNNNNNNNNNNNNNNNNNNNNNNNNNNNNNNNNNNNNNNNNNNNNNNNNNNNNNNNNNNNNNNNNNNNNNNNNNNNNNNNNNNNNNNNNNACGGCUGGAGAUGCUCUGACGUCUGCAGAAUGGUCACCUCACUUCAGGAAUGGUAACAUCUAUACCUACUCUGGAGCAACCCAGGAUUGAGGAGGUGGUGCCUGAGCCAAGGAUUAAAAUAUAUUUUGCAAGUGUACAAGACCCUUGAAUGUUACUAGUUUUUGUGUGUUGUGCUUAGUUUGUACUUGUUUUUUCUACUGCUUAAAGUCGUAUUGUAAGCUCAGACCAUGUGUAGGCUACAAGCCUACAACUACUAUAUUUGUGUCUCUACCUCUUGCUUUGAUGAAAGAACAUAGCCUUGUAUUUCUUUGUUUAAAAGAGUGCAGUGUCAAGUUUAUUUCCUGGCAUGCAAUUCAUUACGACUUCGUUAGCAGGUCAUUGAGACCACCUGUAGACUACAACCAAUAUCCGCAAACUUGUCUGCUAGUUUAGUAAAUUUAUUUUGUCUUGCUUUUAUGUGGUUGCAGUACAUUAUUUGGCUUCUUCAGGAAAGAGACGCUUCUCCUCUUUUUUCCUGUUCUCUGUUCACAGAUACCAAAAUGGGAGACUUUCAUGGACUUCUUUUUAUUGAAGAGAUUCAGUUUUUUUCUGAACCCCGUUUUUUUUACCAAUAGGCUGUUAAAUCAUUUGAAGGAGAUUUCUCAAAAUUUUGCAAGGAGUCGGACAUCUUAACUGACUUUUUUUCAUUUGGCGCAUUUUUUAUUUCAAAAAAUAAAUCUUGCAGUACAUCUGGAUGUGUUUUUUUCAUCAUUAAUCAUUAUUUAUUUAUUUUCUUGGUUCAGUCUGCUCUUUCUUGUCAAUUUCUCAGUAUUUGUUUCUUUUUUACUUUCUUAAUUUGCUACUAGUUCGUUGGUCUUUCUUCAGUCUUCCUUAUGUUCAGUCUGUCAUAGUUCCUUAGGUGCUUAGUCCUCUUCAGUUUUGUACUCUAUGUUUCAUCAUUUCUUUAGUCUCUCAGAUCUUUGGUCUUGAAACUAGAUGAACGGGCAAGAAAAUGCUUGUAAACCUUUCUUCGGUAAGUCUCUGUCUUCUUCUAUUUCUCUUGUCAGAGAAUAUGUUCUAAGUUCCCGUUUUUACUAUCUAAGCUAGAGAGUUUUAUUUUUCAGUCACGUUGAGAUUAGUGAUUUGUUUUCUGCUACACCAACUCUGUUUCUUCAGUAUCACUUUCCAGCCAUGUUGAGACAUUCAGUGGUUUCAGUGUACUUCUGUUUCUCAUUCUUAUGCCUGCUAUCCAUCAGACUCGUAACGUGUGAUAGCUGUGCAGUAGGCAGCAGGUAAAAGAUGCCCUUCAUGGUGCAAGAAUUUGCAAGAGUAGCAUGUUCAGUCCCAGUGCAGAGCUGCUCUGACUGUUGUGGUCGUGAAAUUCCAACUCUUACCAACAGCAAGGGACAUAGAAUCAUUUUCCCGGUGGUGCGAUUAGGAAGAGAGAAAUCGCUUCCGAAAUUACAAGCUCAUGUGCCGGAUCGUUUCAGUGCAGGCGCGGAGUUGGAUAAAAUUCAGCUAGCCGACAUCACAUCCUCCAGAUGCUGUUCUACAAGAGCACUGCACCUAUAUUUUGGUCGAGAUAACAGGAAUAUGUGGCCACGGGUCGACAUUGAAUGUCUGAAUUUUGACGGGCCAACUUACCACAAGACUGCAUCAGGUUGGAGGUAGGAGACACAAGACACAACCGUCUGAUGAAGAUCCAAAGGUAAAAAAAAUCAACUUACACCAAAAGAAAAUUCAGUCGACAUACAAAUAGCCAAGUCCAAUUUUAUUAUGUGUCUGUACUUCUUGCCGUGUUGUCCUGCUGCCGUCGCUUGCCUCAACAGAUCACAUGUUUAUCAAGUCUGGUGUCUUGACACCUAUGUAUGGCUGAAAAGCUUGAACCUUAUUUUUGUGGAAACUUGGCCACGUAAAUUUAGUUGAGAUUACAACAACAUGCAUAUAUGCGCUCACGAAAUUAGCGUCAGCGUCUCGUUUUGACAGGGAUUGAUGGUUCAACCAACUAACUCAAGCACGUUGGUUCGGCUCCGAGCACCCGGACUGGAUAACCAACCAACUAACCUUUUUGCAAUAAUAAAAAAAAAGUAACAGAUACAGUCAGGUAGCGGCAAGGACAAUCGUGCAUUCGCCAUUCCUGUAGGCAUGCUAUUAUUCUUACAUCGCACUUUUUGUUUUCUCCAGAAGAUGAUUGCUGUCAGCUUGACAACCAAAAUGCACUCAAUGAAGAUUUUGGUUCUUGACUCUAUGGGCCCUAAUCUGGGCGUGCUUGUUGACUUUUUGAAGUGCUUCCCCUGCUUGGAGAAGCUCUAUGUCAUUGUGAGUACUCAUAUUUAUUGCUAGAAAUGUCAAAGCAACACUGGUUCAGAAUUAGGAUCUAGUGAACUACUAGUAUUUAGCUGCCAAUUUGUUAACAACUAUCUUUAUAUCAUAUGUUUUUCCUAUCCCCAGUUGAAUCGGCACAAGGAUGUAAAUUAUGUGUGGAAGCAUGGUCCAUUGGAUCCAGUUCGGUGUCUUGAGCUCCAUCUAAAAAAAGUGGUGUUGAAGAAUUACAAUGGUGACAGGAGGGCAUUUACUAACCUUGCUAAGUUCUUUAUUUUGAAUGCAAAAGUGCUGAAAGAAAUGGAAAUCGGAUUCUUUCAAAUUGGCAACGAAGAAUGGGUUUGUUGUCAACAUAGGCAACUACAAGUUGAGAAUAGAGCUUCUCAAGGCGCUCGAAUUGAACUAAAAGAUGAUAUGGACCUGAAAUUCACUGACCGUGUGCAUACCCAUAAUUUCUCAAUUGCUGAUCCCUUUGACAGAUCCUUGUGUGGAUGCUCCAAGUGUGUUAGGGAGCCCUUCUGAAGAUUGUGCCACCCUCUGUCCAAAGCCAAAACAACGUGGGCCGCCCUUGCUUGUCUGUGUUGUCACACCCUUAUGGCGCUAUGCAGAAUGGUCUACUCAAUUCAGGAAUAGUAUUGAUUUGUGCCGACUCUGGAGCAACCCAGGAUUGAGGAGGUGGUGUCUGGGCCAAGGAUUAAAAUUGAUUUUGCAAAUGUACAAGACCCUUGAAUGUUACUAGUUUUUGUGUGUUAUGCUUAGUUCGUACUUGUUGUUUCUAUUCUGCUCAAAGUCGUAUUAUAAGCUUAGACCAUGUGUAGGCUACAAGCCUACAACUAUUAUAUUUGUGUCUCUACUUCUUGCUUUGAUGAAAAAACAUAGCCUUGCAUUUCUUUGUUUAAAAGAGUGCAGUGUAAAGUUUAUUUCCUGGCAUGCAAUUCAUUACCACUUUUAUAGCAGGUCAUUGAGAGCACCUGUAGACUAUAACUAAUAUCCGCAACCUUGUCUGCUAGUUUAGUCAAGAAUGUAUGGUUGAUUCACAGAAUUCAUUUAUUUCACGGAUUUUAAAUUUGACAUCUUGUAUUCAUACCAUUCUUCUAUUCUCAUAAAAGGAAACCAAGUAAAAUUUACAUUAUAUUUUCCUGUGCUAAAUUUAAGGUGGAUUUAAAAGGCAUACUCUGUAUUUUUAUUGUUUCAUGACCCCAUUCUGCCACAAAUUGCUAUAUUUACAUGUGUUUAGAAGAUUAAUUCUGCUAUAUCUACUGCUAUGCGCUCACAAAAUUAGCACCAGCGUCUCGUUUUGACAGGGCCAGCUAGCCUUGACUACCAGAAGAUCGAUGGUAUAAGCUCAAGCACGUCUUUUUGCAACAAUCAAGCAACAGAUACAGUGAUACAGACUGCAGUACUUCUGAACUUGUGAUAGAGAAAAUAUGUUUGCUUGAAUGUUACCGAGGACAGCAGUAGGUAGCAUAGCAGUCAGUCACAGGGGACUGCACUCCAGACAUGCAUGUCUAAAUAUAGCUCAACCAAAUCAAAUGUAGCACGUAUACUACACACAGCAACCCAAUCAAAUGUAGAAAUACCACAGAAGAUGCAUAGCUCAGUUCGGCCUGAGUAAAUAAUGCAUAGCUCAGCACGGCCUGUGUAAACCACACAAAAACAAUAACAGAGUUUUGCUUCCCUUUUAAAAAAAACAGAGUUUUGCUACGACAAGAAUUAAAUAAAAUUGAGGCUUGUUACGGAGCCCGAGCUUCCCUAGCAGGGAACUAAAAACGCGAGAGUAGCAUGUUCAGUCUCAGUGCAGAGCCGCCCUGACUUUCAAUUAUCGCGGUGGAAUUCCAACUCUUAGGAGCAGAGCAGCAAGAAGCUUUGACUCGAGAGAUAAUUCGUUUCCAAAAUUACGUACGUACAAGCUUGUGCGUCUCCAUCGUUGGAUGGCGACUUGCAUGCUUUCGGUGCAGGUGGGGAGUUGGACAGAAUGUAGCACCUAUAUUUUGGUCGAGAUCACCAGAUCGGCAUUAAUUAAUGUCUGAAUUUUGACGGGCGAGCUCACCAUAGCUCUGAACUUUUGCCAACCAGCACGUAUGCUACACACGACAACCCCAAUCAAAUGCAGAGAUAUCACGCAAGACUCAUAGCUCAGUUCAGCCUGCGUAAAUCGUACACAAACAACAAGAUAGAUUUGCCACCACGAGAGUUAAAUAGAACUCAAUCUUCCCCAACAGCGAAUUAAAAACACAUCUACUACUAAUGUCUGUUCUAACUCAAGCAACCCAGCAAGACAAAGUGAUCCACUCAACGCUUUUGGAACCAAAUGCUGAUGGCCGGCCAGUUGAAUUGCAGACAUGGCAGUAAGUAGCAGGACUGGAUUCUCCGGAUGCAUUACUUGACUUGAAUCCACGAACUGCUGUUCAAGAUGGGUGUAGGACAUAUUACAAAAAAUUGCUACUCGUAGGUGUGAGUAAAAAAAAAUCACCAUCAUUUGAGUUACCAGGAUUAAGGUGGCUAGUUAUUGGUGGCCACUCUCUCAUUCGUCUGGUCUCCUUUCUUCGCCAGAGAUUCUUUUGCGACGACCUCUUCCCACUCCUUGUCAUCCUUAAACAUGGCACCUUCAAGGGCUCUGCUGACACGGAUUCUGCACUUGGGGAGCAAGCUGGUUGCCUUUUCAAUGGAACACUCCAGAGCCUUCACCCAGCCAGGAGCUGCUCUGUAACAAUCGAUAUGGACCUCGAGCUGUGCAAGGCCUGGAAGAUGCUCGACACCCAAGUCUGCAAAAGAGUCGGACGCCACAAUCAUUGGGCUCAAUUCAAGACGGAGACAACGGAGUGCUGGCAUAGCACCUGGUGCAAAUGUUAGCUGCAGUCCACCCGUUGGUUGCACUUCAAAUUCAAGACGGAAGAGUGAAUAGUAGCGGAAGCGGAAGACCUUUAGCAGUUUGAAUCCAUCACUACCGAUGAUCAGCUUUUCAUUAAUGGCCCCUCUUAUUAUCUCAAGAUCCAGAUGGGCAAGAGAAGGCAUGCCCAUGAGAACUUGGAGAUCCUCCUUAUCAAUUCCCGUGACCUUUCUGCGUAGUCUUAUGAGAUUCUCGAGGGUGGUCAUUCCCCUGGGAACCAUUCCAAUACCUGACUGAAUUUCAAGAACUUGGAGGCACGGGAAUGUGCAGCAUGGGUUACAGAACAUACGCUCGGCUAUCUUUCCACUAGUACAAAGAUACCGAAGGUUGCAUUUUCCCGACUCGUUUACUUCCUCCACAAAUCUCACUGGGUUGUCAGUUUUCUCGAAGCAUAACUCCUCCAAGGCUUGCAGACUCCGGAACCCUCUUGCAGGUAAUUGUGUGUAAUCGCUGACAAAUAGACGCACCAAUUUCCGCAACUGCGCCACGGUUGAUGGCAGUCCUAGAAGUGAAUAACAGUAUAUCAAAUCGAGAGUCUCCAAGUGCUGCAGCUUUCCGAUUUCACUAGGAAGCUCGGUAAUUUCAAAACCCCUAAUUCGCAAAUACCUCAGCUGGCAUGAACUACCUAAGUGUUUCACAUGCUUGUUUUCCAACCAUUUAUUUCCAUCAAGAUCCAACACGCGCAAAGCAUGGAAGUCCACAAGGUGGGGUAUAUGCUCAAAGUAUUCCAGGUAUAUAGUCAGUGAGCGAACAUAUAUCUUGGUUUCUGUAAUCGCACAGACUGCGCCAUUAUGCUCUUUGCCACUAACUUGCACGGACAGACGUCGAAUCUUGUUUGGACAUGAAUUGCAUACAUGCCCAUUUAAAACAGUGGCAAAAUUCUCUUCAUCUGAUAAAGAUAUGAUAAGGUCAAGCACCAUAUCAUGGACUCGACAAUAUUUCACAGUACCAUCAUCAUCAAUAUCAAUUGGCUGGAUCAUAUUUCUAUUAACAAGUUCAUUGAUACAUUUCUCUGCUACAUCAUCCAAACGUCCCCAUCGUCUAUCAAGGAAUCCUUCGGCCAUCCAUUUCCAUUUCAGUUCUUCACACGUGAUUGUGUAGUCCUCUGGAUAUAUACACAAGUACAAUAAACAAGUCUUCAAAUAGUGUGGAAGAUCCCAGUAACUAAGUAAUAGUAUAUCUUUCAUCCCUUUUAAGUUCCCAUCAUUAUCAAGCGACGAACCAGUGCCAAUGAAAUCUUCCAGUCUCUCCCAUUCAUCCUUAUGUAUCUUAUUGGCAAGCAAACUUGCAACUGUAAUUAUAGCUAGUGGAAGACCAGCACAUUUUUUUAAGAUCUUAGUUGAAACUUCUUCCAGUUCAACAGGACAAGGAUCAUCUACGCAGAAUAUUCUCUUAAAAAACAAUUUUCGGGAAUCAACAUCAUCUAGAGGUGCCAUUUGAUAGGGUUCACCACCGGAGUCGGAACAACACCCAUUAGCUACACGGGUAAUGUGUGUAGUAGCAAUUAUUCUGCUACCAUUAUUAUUCUCAGGAAAUGCUGACUUGACCAAUUUCCAGUGUUCUUCUUUCCAUACAUCAUCAAUGACAACAAAGUACCUGCUUUCAAUAUUGUGCAUCAUUAAGCAUUUGAUAGCUGUGAUGACUUGUAAUAGCAACUAAUUUGAUAUUCACCAUUAAUAUUUUGUACUUCUGUACUUAAUUUUUCAGUAAUUUCUUUUGUAUCAAUCAAACCUCUGGCUACAAAUAGAUUAGGGCUAAACAUGAGUACUACAAAAUAGAAAUAAAACUAUUAAUUUUGAAAAAAUAGCUCUACCAGGUCAUCUAAGUAUAGAAAGAGUUAAUAAACGGUAGGUACAUGAGAAUAAAUAUAGAGUACACAAAACAAAACAUUGUAGGAGUACCUCUUUCCCGUCAAGAUGUGUGCAGUUUUUCGAAUUAGUCGGUCUAUGUUCCAACCCUCUAACUGACAUUCCUUGUCAGCGAUUUGCGACAAGAUAUCCUUCAAGAGCUUCUGUAGAUAAAGAGUGCGUGAAACAGAUACAGAAGCACGGCACUGGAAGUCUUCUCGUACUCCAAUCUUGCGAUACACCUCCAUUGCCAAGGUGGUCUUCCCCAACCCACCGGAGCCAACAAUCGGCACCACUUUCAGCUCCAUACUCCCAUCCAACAAUAAAGUAGUAACUUGCUUCACUCGGUUGUCCAUUGCCACCAGGCCCUUGACCUCCUCAUGGAGCAUGGUUAUCCGUGGGUCUAUCUCCACCGUCCUUGUUGCACUAUAGUAACUCUCAUCAAGCUUGUACCUGUGCGAAUAGGCGAAAGCGUCUUACCCUCGGUGUGAGGGGGCGCGUUGCAUGUUAUAGGCUGCAGGGGCGCACCUCCCUGGCAAAUAGCGCAUACAAGUUUGUUGGAGAAGAUUACAACUUGGGGAGGAAGAGAUAAAGAGAUAAGAGGUUUACAAGAUAUUGAACUACUUGUCUAACAACCUAGUCUAUCUCCUGGACGUCUCCUUGUGCGCCAAACCUGUGCUCCAACGUGACAUGAAUAUGUGUUUAACACCCUCCCUUAAUCACAACUUCAUCAAGUUGAGAUUAUGUUUGAAGUCUUCAAAACUUCUUGUGGGUAAGGGUUUUGUGAAUCUGAUCCUUGGAAUGCACAAAACGUAUGUCAAGCUUCUUCUGAGCCACUCGUUCUUUGACAAAAUGAAAAUCAAUUUCAAUGUGCUUGGUCCUAGCAUGAAACACUGGAUUAGCAGACAGAUAUGUGGCACCCAGGUUAUCACACCAUAAACAUGGCAUUUUAGUACUUUUUACACCAAGUUCUUUCAGCAGUGAUUGCACCCAUAUAAUCUCAGUUGUAGCAUUUGCCAAUGCUUUGUAUUCUGCCUCUGUACUAGAGCGAGAGACAGUAGCCUGUUUCCUAGCACUCCAUGAAAUCAGAUUAGGACCAAAAAAUACUUCAAAGCCACCAGUGGACCAUCUGUCAUCCAAGCAACCUGCCCAGUCGGAAUCUGAAAAGGCACUCAAAAGUGUGGAUGAUGACUUGCUGAAAUUCAGACCAAUACUCAGAGUGUUCUUGACAUAUCUGACUAUACGCUUUACAGCAGUCCAGUGAACUGUGGUAGGUGCAUGAAGAAACUGGCAUACCUUAUUGACAGCAAAUGAGAUAUCAGGUCUUGUAAGCGUCAGAUGUUGGAGUGCACCUACCAAAAUCCUGUACCUUGUGCUGUCAUUCUGACUCAAGGGCUGUCCUUCUGUAAGAGACAGCUUCUCUGAACUGGACAGUGGAGUAGGUGAGGGUUUACACCCUUGCAAACCAGCCUUUUUUACCAAAUCUGUUGCGUAUUUUUCUUGGGAGAGAUGAAGUCCAUCCUCAUGCUUCUUUACUUCAAUCCCUAGAAAAAAAAUGCAACUCUCCAAGAUCCUUGAGAGAAAAUUCUGCACUAAGAUCCUUCAAAAGUCCUGUGAUAGCCUCAUUAGAUGAGCUGGUGACAAUAAUAUCAUCAACAUAUAUGAGAACAAAUAUGUGAGUGUUGCAUUUGUUGUAAAUGAACAAGGAGGUGUCAGACUUUGAAGGAAUAAAGCCAAGUGCUUGCAUUUUAUGACUCAGACGUGAGUAUCAUGCUCUAGGAGCCUGUUUCAGUCCAUAUAAUGCUUUGUCAAGUAUGCACACAUGAUGAGGUGCAUUUUUGUUUUCAAACCCAGGAGGUUGCUUCAUGUACACUUCCUCUUCCAGAACACCAUGCAAAAACGUGUUCUGAACGUCUAGCUGCCUGAGGCUCCAGCCCCUAGAGACAGCAAUGGACAAAACAAGACGGAUAGUGGCAGCUUUUACAACUGGACUAAAAGUAUCCUCAUAAUCAAUGCCAUACCGUUGUUUGAAUCCUUUUGCUACAAGUCUUGCCUUGUAACGAUCAAUGGUUCCAUCGGAUUUCCUCUUUAUCCUAAAUACCCACUUGCAAUCAAUAAGGUUUUUACCUUGCCGUGGAGGAACCAGAUGCCAUGUGUUGUUUCGUUUCAAGGCUGAGUACUCCUCUCUCAUUGCUCUCUUCCAGUUUUCAUCACCAAGUGCUUCUUCAAGUGUAUGUGGCUCGCCUGGUUCACCUGUGGAACAUACCAUCCCAAACUUUGUCAUGUGUUUAUAAUUUUGAGGUUGUAUUACCCCUUGUUGAAGAGGAGUGCGACGCGACGAGAUUGGCAGUGGUGCAGAAGAUCCCGGCUGAACUGCAGGGUCUGAUCCCGAGGCGGAUUCAGGAUCAGGCGCAGCAGCCGCGUUGGGAGCAGGCGCCGGAUCCUCUGUGCACCGCGGCACACCAGGAGCACGUGAAGAAGCCGCCUGCGGCACAGAAGAUCCCGCCGGGCCCGGCUCAUCAUGUGCCAAUGAUUGCACCGUUUCCCCUCUGGCGCCAGACGUGGGGCCCGCGUUGGUCGGACGGUGCAGGUCCCGCCGCUUGUAGCAGACGGGUUGGACGGGGAAACGCCCGCCCGAGGGCUUGCCCGUGGGCCCAGGUGAACGCGACGCGGGGUUGGCGUCUCCUCCAGCUGCUGUGGGUCGCAUGGCAUAGGCGGUUCCACCCGCUGGCGCGCGGUCGGCCGCAGCGGGAGCAGCAGAAGGCGCGGAGUCCGGGGAGGAUUGGCCUGACGAAUCUCCAGGCGGCGAUCCCGAGGCAGAUUCUGCCGCCAGGUCUGCGGGAACUGAUCCCAAGGGAGAUUUGCUCCCCCGAUCCUGGCACAUGAAAUAUGGCCCUGUUGGACAGAUUUCUUCAUCAUUUCAGCUCCGUUUUUUCAGCAUGGCUUCUUGCAUCAUCAUACAACUCAGGUAAAGUGGUGAGAAGGUUAGUCAUAGUAGGAUUAUUAGAGCUAUACUAGAGUAGGAGGAAGAAGUAGAAUUUCUUUCCGAAGUAAAGCGCCAACAUUUGGAUGUAGAUCAGCAAAGCGGAAUUUAGUUUCGUCGAACACAACAUCACGAGAUAUGUAUACUCGACCGGUAGAAACAUCUAGACACUUGACCCCCUUGUGUUGAGUGCUAUAUCCAAAAAAACACAUUGUUUUGACCGAAACAUUAAUUUGCGAGAGUUGUAUGGUCGGAGAUUGGGCCAACAGGCGCAUCCAAACACACGAAGUGAUGUAUAGUUUGGUUUGAUAUGGAGAAGCCAUUCAGUGGGUGUUUCAUUAUUGAUCACUCGACUAUAAAGCAUGUUGAUGAUGUGAACGGCCGUGAGGAAAGCUUUGUCCCAAAAUUUUAGGGGCAUGGAAGCACCGGCAAGGAGGGCCAAACCGACCUCUACUAUGUGCCUAUGCUUGCGUUCGGCAGAUCCGUUUUGUUGGUGAGCGUGGGGGCAUGACACAUGGUGAGAUAUGCCAAGUGUUUGAAAGAAGUAAUUGAGCUUCUCAUAUUCCCCUCCCCAGUCGGAUUGGACAGCAAUAAUUUUGCUAUCAAACUUACGUUCUACAGGUGCUUGAAAAUUUUUGAACACUUGAAAAACGUCAGGUCUUUUCUUGAGGAGAUAAAUCCAAGAAAAUUUGCUAUAGUCAUCGAUGAAGCUAACAUAAUAUGUGUGUCUACCCACCGAGGUAGGGGCAGGCCCCCAAACAUCAGAGAAAAUUAAUUGCAAAGGUUGAGUAGAAACACUGGUAAAUAUGGGAUAAGGUAAUUGAUGACAUUUUGCUCUUUGGCAAGAAUCACAUAUAGUUUCACUAUCUCGCUCACCAACAAACGGGAGCUUAUUUUUCUUAAGCAAGCGUUCAACUAAAGAAAAAGAUGCAUGUCCUAAACGAUCGUGCCAUCGUGUGGAGGAAAGCUUGAUAGCACCACAAGCUUGUUUAUUUGAUCUCCUAAACUCCGGAAUCAAUGGGUAAAGCCCUCGAACACAUCUACCGCGGUAGAGUACCUUCCUCGUGGCCUGAUCCUUGAUCAAAAAGAAGAAAGGAUGGAAUUCAAUGAACACAUGAUUAUCAAUAGUGAUACGAUGAACGGAGAGAAGAUUUUUGUUGGCACUAGAAACAUGCAAAAAAUUUCUAAGGCGAAUUUUGCGGGAAGGGGUACGUAUAACAGAAUGACCUAUAUGACUUAUCCUCAUACCUACACCACUUGCCGUGUGGAUCUGGUCCUUCCCAUGGUAUUUCUCAUGGAGGGUCACCUUCUCGAGCUCGCCCGUGAGAUGGUUUGUGGCACCGCUGUCCAGAUACCAGUUGGUAUCCACUCCAUAGGACCCGGCGGCAGCGGCAGCAACCUUGUCUUCUUCAUCCGAGGAAGCUUCAUCUUCGUCAAAGCGAUACCAGCAAUCCUUGGCCGAGUAGCCAAGAUUGCCGCAAAUUUGACAGCAUACAGCAUCGGGUCGUGACCGUCCCGAGCCGCCACUGCCGCUGCCGCCCCCGCCACGGCGACCCUUGUUGUUGUUGUUGAAGUUAGGGCGCCCGCCGCGCGAGCCGGAGUUGCUGGAGCCGCCACCACCUUGCUUGCCCUUGUGUCGAGGAGGACCACGGUGACGGGAUGAGUACCCGCCGCGCCUACGGGUGGCCGCGUUUGCCGAAGACUUGAAGCCGCCACCGGUGUUAUGGAACUGCGCUGAUCAAAGUUGCUCAGCAUGGCGUACAGCUCAUUGACUAGACCGGCAUGACGCAGGCGUCGAGGGCAGAGACAAGGGGCUGGUAGUCCAUGUCCAGCCCGUGCAGCAGGUAGGAGAUCAGUUCAUCAUCCUGGAUUGGCUUGCCAGCCGCGGCGAGUUCAUCGGCCAGGCCGCGCAUAGAUGCAUAGUACGCGGCAACAAAUUGGUUGCCCUUCUGUGCAUUGAUCAAAGCAGUGCGAAUGUUGUUAACACGACUCAGAGAUUGAGAGGAAAACAUGCCUGCGAGCGCCGCCCAGAGAGCGUGCGCGGUGGUGAUCGCGGUCACCGUGAUCAGCACUUCUUUGGAGAGGUUGCUGAGGAGGUAGCCGAGCACUUGUUGAUCCUCCCUCACCCAGAUGGGAUGGAGAGGAUUGGGCUCGGUCGUCUCCUUGCCUUCCUUGUCCUUGGUGACGAGGAGGCGGGCGGGUUCUGGCAUGGUUCCAUCGACAUAGCCGAAGAGCCCGGCUCUCCUCAGCUGCGGUGUAACUUGCGUGCGCCAUAGGACGUAGUUCGUCCGGGAGAGCUUCUCCGUGACUUGGCCGCCGAGAUUGGAUUGAGCGGCGCUAGAGGAAGACAUGGCUUGGCACUAGAUGGCAGCUAGGGUUUUGGAAGAGGAGGCUCUGAUUACCAUGUGCGAAUAGGCGAAAGCGUCUUACCCUCGGUGUGAGGGGGCGCGUUGCAUGUUAUAUACUAGACCUGUAGCCCGCCUUGGCGCGCGUUGCCGGGUCCCCACACUUGUGGCUAAACAUGUGUGUAGUUAUACUAUAAUACCACAUGUGCCAUUUUAGAUAACAUGGUAAUAUACAAUAUAUAUUUCACAUGUCUGCAACAUGCAAAGGUACAUGGCAACAAACAGAUCAAAGGAUCAAAGAAUGACAUAAGAGGGAGUAACUUGUAAUAAUAAAAUGGUUCAGUUCAUUAUAUCACUUUGAGCAUGUCAUGGAAAAUGUAUCAUGAUAUACCAAAAGCAGGUCCUAACGAUAGUGAAAGAGAUCAACAGAUAUGGUUCUUCUAAUUCUGAGCUCAUCUUCGAGAGAAAUUACAUAUUUACAUAUCUCCUAAUUCUGAUCCCAUCUUUCUAUAGUUCAGUCUUUAAUAAUUAUUUCAACAUCAACAGUAUAUGUGAACAUCAGGAGGGAAGCAGAUGUGUGCCUUCCUUUUGCAUUUGACUCGGUUGAAACAAUAAAACCUCUCCACAUAAAAAAAGCAAUCUGCAAAAGCAUGUUCCAAACAUUUUAGAGCAUGCUGGCAAUACAAAGCAAUAAAUGGUUGUACAGCAAAGCAGAAGUGCAUAUGAGCUACUACUGUGACGUUUAGUUAUGAAUCAAGUGGAGCACAAUAAGAUCAUGUUCAUAACCUGCAAAACAAUAAUAAAAGACCUCAAUUUAUUAUUUUCCAUGGAUUUAAGUAUAUUCCAUGAGAAAUUUCUGCUGUAACCAAGUCUCAAGCUCAAACCAAAAUAUUUUAGCAUCAUUACUUGAGUUGUUUUCUGUUUUCUGUAAGUUGUAGAUCUGAUGCUACACGCCCUGAUCAGUGCGCAGUAGUAAUAUAUGAUUCAGGUAUAAUGGACACUCAUGAUUUUUUUCCUUUCUUAAAAUGAGGUAUACAACUAAUCAACUAUACACACCGGAUACUCAAGUUACAUGGUAAUAAAUAUUCAGAGAAGAAAUAUAUCACGACAAUGAUCGCAACUCAUUUCAUGUAGUGCAAAUCACAAAAGGGGGAAGAUGCUUUCAUGGAAGAAUCUAAAAUCAUUCACUGCAUAACAAAUAUUGUUUAUCUACUACCAAUUAUAUAUCGCAGUUGAUGUAUGUACAUUACCAAGACAAAGCAAGUAACAGGAAGCACAUUAUUAUUUUGAGCUGAAGUGUAUGCAGAUGGCACAAAUACUCGAGGCAUGUUCUAAUUAUUCUACUGGCUCUAGGUCCAAAAGAAUGAGCAAGAAGAAAUAUAUAUCUCUCUCAGAAAAAUAUAGGAUUACUAAUCUGAAGAAUAUAAAUUUGUCUGAUAAAAAAAAAUCCAUGCAUGACUUCCUACCUCAUAAGCAUGCGGACCAUUUAGAAGCCAAGCUAACAUCAAGUACAAAAAAUACAAACCGUCAUUAUUGGCAAAAUGCCGCACUUCCUACCUCAGAAGCACGAGGCGUGCAAUAAUUAUUGGGAUAUCCUACCAUGAAUCAGCAGGCACAGGUAAAUGGAACAUACACAGUAAUAGUUCACACA
This 61737-nucleotide long non-coding RNA is filed under the name Triticum aestivum (bread wheat). RNAcentral's name for it is "long non-coding RNA (TAES_LNC011068)". The stretch from base 40471 to 40526 matches the Rfam family "tRNA", at positions 10 to 63 of the family's 71-position model. Lineage: Eukaryota; Viridiplantae; Streptophyta; Magnoliopsida; Poales; Poaceae. The record is from RNAcentral.